RNAcentral lists this long non-coding RNA (83953 nucleotides) under Triticum aestivum (bread wheat). RNAcentral's name for it is "long non-coding RNA (TAES_LNC018199)". The stretch from base 80233 to 80357 matches the Rfam family "MIR1120/MIR1122 microRNA precursor family". Lineage: Eukaryota; Viridiplantae; Streptophyta; Magnoliopsida; Poales; Poaceae. The record is from RNAcentral.
UUUUGGUAUUUUUAAAAUGAUUUUUAUGAGGUUUUAUUGCAGCAGUAGCACUCUUUGCUUUAUCUGAAUUUUUGUAUACUUUAUUGGACGCUAGAAAAGUGAUCAUGUCGUAGAAAAUCUUUUUCUGAAAAUUUUGAUAUAUAAUUUGCCUAUGUACAAUUUUAUUUUUGUUUUCGUUAUACAGUUUUCCUUUCUGUUUUUAAUAAAAAAACUGUACGUGCCGCCCAAAUUUUAUCCGUCGCCUACGUGCACAGUGCACCCACGCCGGCCCAUGUUGUUUUUUUGUUAUGUUUGCAGAAAAAAAUAUUUUUCUUUAUCUUAAUUUUUUUUCUUCCUUCUUUUAGUGUUUGAAAAAAAAACUGCUGCACGCACGCGCGCGGCCGGCCGAAGCUUUAGGCCCAUGCGAGGCGCCUCUUUUCUUCUCUGUUUCUUUUCUUUUCAUCUAUGUUUAGUCCCACAUUGCCUAGCAUUUGACCUUUAAGCCUUUUUCCAUCAAUAAAUAUAGACCCAUAGAGACUUCAAAAAUCAUCCGAUUCGGGUUAAAUCAAAAUUUUGUUUUGACUAGAUUCCUUAAAGAAAUAUAUAUUUCUCCUCUCCGACGGGACUUUUGGAAGUUGUCUCCUCACUCCGAAGUCGUCUUUUAGCUAUAUUUAUUCGUUCUCUGUAAAUACGUUAGACAUAUUUUUUUUAGCCGUAAUUAUUUUUCUUCUGCAAAACAGCUUGGCUCUGAUUUUUCAAAUAGCCAUAACUUUUUAUUCGCUCAUCCAAAUUAGAUGAAACCAACGCCUAUGGUUUCGUCUUGUUUUCACCUAUCCAGUUAACCUGUCACGUCAACUUUUUGAAAUUUUUAAAUUUCGAAUUUUGUUCAGAUUCAUAUUCAAACUUCUUUUGAACAUAACUUGAGUUCCGUAACUCCGAUUUAGUUGAUUCUUUUUGCAAAUCGAAGCUCUUGACCUAACCUUUAUGAUAAGGCCAAAUUCACAUAAUUUUGGUACUGUUAGAAAUUGUUUUAUGUUGCAAGAGUUAUUUGCUUGGUUUUGAUGUUUUCCGAAUCGUCUUCUUCGAUCUUUCUGAUCUUUUGAGUGAUUGCUUAUGUAUGGUUACUAUUGCUUGCUCACGAUAGAUUGAACGGAGUGUGACGAGUAGAACUAUCAAGAGUUAUGAGUGCGGAUCAUCUUCAUCAACAUUGCAGGCAAGUUCACACUUUGAUCAUAUCCCUUCCAUACCCAGUUUUUAUGCAUUAGUUUCACCCUCAAACAUUGCAUGAGUAGGAUUGAUAACAUGUGGGUAUUGGGAAGUAGUUGAGGUAGUACCUAUUGCCCUGUUUAUUAUCAAACCUUUGGGAGUUACUUCUACGUUUGCUCAUAUUGCUAUGCUAUGCUAGUAGACGUGGAUUGGGUUUGAGUGUUACCAUGACAGAUGUGAGAUUGUUAAUUAAUGGUUAACCUUAAGGUGGCAACUAAAACUCACAUCUGGGUGGAUUGAGGUACCUGGGUAUUCCAGGAUUGCCUGUUUUUCUUUUGGACCGCCACCUAGGUUCAAAGGGAUCAUGAGAUUAUUCAUGCUAGAAACUUCCGUGUGCAGCCACAAGCUAUUAUGGGCUCUAGCAUAGUUGAGUAGGUUAUAUGAUCUCUUAAAGAGGUGGGCUAGCAGAUGUAGGGGAAAGUAGGCGUAACUGUCCACCCAGAGUAAAGAGUUAUUGUUUCUGAAAGACUGUGUCUCGGUCAUCCGUUUCUCAAACAUCAUGUAGUGCGAGAAUCAAGCGGAGGCGAUCGAGUCUUGUGGGGAAAAGUGCGCAAACCUCUGCAGAGUGUACAAACUAAUCAUGAUUAGCCGUGUCCCCGGUUAUGGACAUCUUGAGUAUCUAGUUCUUGGAUUAUCCCGUUGAUCUCAUCAUGUUACUUUAAUUAAUUUUGUUGGGUUUUGAUGAUGAUACUUAAUUGGGAUUGAGAAUGCUGUCAACCAUUCUCAAUGUUCAACAACCACCAUGAUAGUCAAAUAAAAAUUUAUUCCUUUGCAGUAGGGAAAAAUUGGCUUUUCGCAAAAACAUUAUAACCAUAGAGCUUUUCCACCAGCCAUAUAUGCAUGUAGUGAUAGCCUUUGUUCAUCAUUUCUCUAUGGUGUGAAUUUGCCAGCAUAUUCCAUGUGCUGACCCGUUUUCGGGCUGCAACGUUUCAUGUUGCAGGAUUCUGACGACGAGUAAGUGAUACGUUAGGGUUACGAUUUCUACACUCAACUUUGCCGUUGGUGUUGAUGGGAAUCCACAACCUUGUUACUUCCGCUAUUUGUAUUGAGGUAAUAGUAUUUACGUUACUUUAUACAUGUGAUUUACCUUUGUUAUAAAUCCUCGAGUACUGUGUGUGUCAGCAUACCGAUCCAGGGAUGACACUUAAGCACAGAGACUUGAUCGUCUGAGGUCGGGUCGCUACACUCAACUAGUAGCACGAGGGUACUACUAGUGCUAUGUACUGUACUUCUAGUAUAGUGCACCAGUUUUGAACUCUUGAAUCUCAGGGCCAAGGAGCUACAGUUGGAAGUGGAGGGUACUACUGUUCUCUAGAACCAUCGAUGUACUAUCAAUGCAGGGAAAGUACACCUGCGUAGUGGCCUAGUGGGUACUCUCGGUGCUCUAUUCAGUCGCUCCUCUCACGUAGCUGGCCUACUCAGCCGCUCCUCUCACGCACACACUAGCAGCAUGUUUAUCAGCGACGGUUACUGCAGGGGCAGAACAUUUGAGUUAUUUGAUACAGCCAGACUAGGCUUUUCGCUUCCAUUUGUGGAGGUGUAAUGGAUCUCGUCGAACUUUGUUAAUAGUUCCUUCUUUAUGAAUGAGAUGAAGCAAAGCUUUUGCCUCCGUUUCAAAAAAAACACGUCAAGAGGAAUUUCUUUUAUAGUAGAGACGAUAAUGGAGUGAAGUCCAUGCAUGCAACGCCACAAGCUACAGAGUAGUAGUAUAGCACUUUACGUACAGAGGCAUAUUGCACAGUUCCCAAUGCCCCGCCAGGCUUUUCUGGCUCCUCGGGCUUAAUUGGGAGGCGCUAGUUUAAAUAUGCUACUAGCUGAUGAGGAAGCUGCAAGCGAGGUGCGGCUAGGGUGAGCACGCGAGCCACGAGAUGCUGGGAAGGAAAACCCAUUCACGUGGCUAGGCUAUCCAGUGCACCUAGAUUGUGGUGCCGCACGUCCGUUUGAACUCAAAACUCAAACUACCCAUGUAAAAUAUUGGCUCGCAGCGAAGUUACUAUUUAAAAAAAAGGUCGUCGUGCGUUCGGCCGGGAUCGAACCCACAAAAUGAGGUAUACACUCCCGCGACCACUAGUAGUACUCGUUGGAGUACAACGCAACCUAGAAUCACCUUUUGUUGCUAGUAGUACAUUGUUCCUUACAAGAAACCCCUAAUAAUGCAAGAAACCACUAAUAAUGCCAAGAAACUACUACCACUUGCAUACGUGGCAGACUUAAGAUAAGACUACCUUAUCAACCAUUGUACAUGCUCCUACCAACCAGCCCUACCAAGAAACGACUACUCUACAAAGUGCCGUUAUAGGCACGUUUCAACCCAUGGCCCUAUUUGGAUACAUUUGUUGUCAAUCUAACCCUGCCAUCCAAACACCACUUUGGUUAGAGUUAGUUCAGGGUUAGAAUCUAACCUCUGACUUAGAGUAUCCAAACAGGGCCCGUGUCGCCCAUUAAGUCAAAGCCUUCUAUUCGACCGGGCGUUAUGACUUGUGGGACCUACAUGUCAGUCUGCACAAAGAUCCCCGAGUGACCUCCUACCUCCGGCCCGUCCACCUAGUCAUCCUUGGCCACGAGACGCAGCUACCGCCGCCGGCAGAAGGCGAGGUCAACACCGCCGGCGGUGCGGAGCCCAUCCCGCGGCAGCCCGGAUGCCAGCUCCGUCCGGCGCUCGCGACCGCUAGCUAGCCAAGAUAGCUUCGUCCAGCUGCUUGUCUGCAAGGUUUGCUAGCUAGAUUGGCACGGCGGCGCGGCGGCUUGCUCGCGCGCGCCGCGCUAAGGCCAGCCAUCUGGCUUGAGCGAAGGACAGCACGGCGGCUUGCUCGCUCGUGAGUCAUGCUCGGGGCAGCCUGCCAACCCGUGCGGAGGCCAGCGCGGCGUCCGGCCCGUCCGGCGGAGCAGCGGCCAACUCGCUCCUCACCGGCGCCACCGAUGAAUACACAUCAGCAUUGUUUGAAGUAAUGUUCAGGAAAAAUAAUGAUUUGAGGGGGAAUAACAGGAUAGAAGGUCAGAUGUGGGUCCCUCGUGUCAACGGUCAAACAAAAUGUGUUGGUUUAAGCUGCCUCGUCAGCACGGACAUGUGGGCCAACCCUGUCAUAAAUGGGUUUAAACUAAGCUAAUCGGUAGGUAGUAGUUUUUGGCGUGGAUUAAGAAAUUUUGGGUAUGUUUUUGCUAUUUUUUGUACAAUAGAUUCUUCCUAGGACUGGUUGAAAGUGGUAGUUUUUUGUUAAAUACUCUACAUAUUGUAAGUAGGAGUGAAAGUUAAGCUUUGGAACCCAAUAAGCAAGGGUAGUUACAUAGUGCAUAUGUGUACAUGAUUCAAAGUAAAUAUCAACCAUGAGUGACUAAUAUCUUGAUGGAAAACUCGAAACUAUGGAAUACUAGGGGAAAAAAUUUGCAUGGUUGGAAAUACUAGCAAUGUUCAUGUGCGUUGCAACGAAUCAUAAUUAGAAUAAUACUUAUUCACAAACUUGAUACAAAACACUCUAAUUUUGAUAUACAUAUAUCACUAGAGAUAUAUUAUGUUUCAAUUAGAAUAUAUUCCUUGGGCUGUUUUGGUGAGGUCAGGGAGGGAUGUUGUUGGUUUUAAGAUACUAAUUAUGGGUUUUUCUGCAAAUUGGUAGACAAGUGGGAUGUUUGUGAGAAAAGGCAACAACUUACCUCACAGUCGUUAGAUGUAGAUCUAAUGGUCACAAACGACGGAUGGCAGACACACCAUCAUCACCAACUUAGUCUUCUGUAGGAGUACUAGUAGCAAGAUCCGUGCAUUGCACGGAACAUCAAGAUGCAUUUUUUAUAAAAACACUCAUUGUGAUUGACCCAUGCGGGAGUAAUCCCAUGUGUAAAAACUAAUGAUAUCUCGAGAAAUAGGAGAUAAGGUGAAGAGGAGUGGGGCGUGGUGGUGAUCGGUGGUUGGACUGAGCGGAGGCAUGGGGAUUGAUGACGCCGGCAGCGGCCACCAGGCCAGUUUGUUCUAGAGGUUUCCUUUCUUAAUUGCUCAACAAUGAGGUUGUUGGAGAUAAGGAUGAACGAGGGAAGGCCUUGUCUGCAAAUGUGAAGAGGGGUGCGGGUAUCUUUUAGUUUAAUUUCCAUCAGUCAGAUAUAGAUCGGACGGUCUAUAUUGCAAGAUGGCACGCGUACGAUCAUCACCAACUCGGUUUUUUAUAAGAGAAGAAAUAUAAGUAUGGAGAUACAAACGUAUUAUCGAUACUUGUUUCCGUAAACUAGCAUCUACAUUCUAUUCAACGCCUCAGCAUGUGAGGCCUUAGCACAAUGACUUCUCGACUGUGUAAAACAAAGGUUUUCCCGUCGUCGAAAGGAGGGGGUGACAGCGGCGCGCUUUUUGGCUUGCUCUAGUCCUAGUAGUCAUACUAGGUGGUCUAAGCACGUGUAGAUUUAUUCGUUUUCACAUCUCGUGUUUGCCGUACUGGCACAACUGUUGAUGAAUAGACGGUAAGUUAUUCACGGGGAAACCCUUGUUGAGCGUGUUUGCGAGAGACAGAGACAGUGUGCGUGUGUGAUAUGUCUAGAGACUGAGGCAAUGAUAACAGAUUCUUUGUUUCUAUGUGUGUGGAGGAUAGAGAGAGACAUGUACAUGGGGCUUUGUGUUGACGUGGAGACACAUAUACAUAAUUAGAGAGUGAGUGUGUGAGAUACACAUGCGGACAUGGGGAGAUAUGAGGAUCUAGAUUAAUGGGUGUUUGUGCGUGUCUGUGUGUGUUUGUGCGCGCAUUUGUGUGUGAGAGGGAGUGUGUGUAUGUGGAGUAGAGAGACCUAGCAUGGGUGCGGGCGGGGGAGCAGACUAUUUGGAAGAGACAUCGAUUGUCUGUGGGAGAGGGGUGUGAGAGCAAGAGAGAGAGAGAGAGGAAGAGAGGGGGCGAGAGAGGGGGCGUUUGUGUCCAUAAAUGGCGUAUAGAUAGGGAGACAAUGUUGAUGUUGUUUGAAAUUGGCCUAUGUAUGGAGAUGCAAGGGAAGCGAGUCAUCGUGUGUGUGAUGGGGACUUCAUGAAGGAUCUAGAAUAGAUGGUGUAGAGAACAAUGUGCGAGAUCGAGAACGAUGAUACAUUAGGGAGCUAUGGAAAGAGUCAUGACAUAUAUGUAUACAGGGAGGAGCUGGGGCGGAUCCGCAUGUGGGAGAGAUAGAAAGAGGAGAGUGGUGCACAAGGAGACAAAGUGUGCUUGUUUUGCAGUGGGGGUGGUGUGUGAGGUGAGUGUGCGAGAACCACAUAACUAGGGAGAUAGACGUUUGGGGGCGACGUUUUGUGUGUAUGGGAAAGAUACACUCUACAUAGUGCGUGUGCUUGGGAAAGAGAGAUGCCGGGAGACCUAGCUAGNNNNNNNNNNNNNNNNNNNNNNNNNNNNNNNNNNNNNNNNNNNNNNNNNNNNNNNNNNNNNNNNNNNNNNNNNNNNNNNNNNNNNNNNNNNNNNNNNNNNNNNNNNNNNNNNNNNNNNNNNNNNNNNNNNNNNNNNNNNNNNNNNNNNNNNNNNNNNNNNNNNNNNNNNNNNNNNNNNNNNNNNNNNNNNNNNNNNNNNNNNNNNNNNNNNNNNNNNNNNNNNNNNNNNNNNNNNNNNNNNNNNNNNNNNNNNNNNNNNNNNNNGGGAAAGAUACACUCUACAUAGUGCGUGUGCUUGGGAAAGAGAGAUGCCGGGAGGCCUAGCUAGAGAGUGGGGGAAGAGAUGUGUGCAUGCCCAAGAGAUAAAGUGAUAGAGACCUAUAUUGGGGUCCGGACUUUAGAAGAGAUAGGGGUGUUAAUGUGCUCGUGUGUUGGUGUUUGGGGGAGAGAACGACUUCUGUGUGUGUGGGGGGGGCGACGAGGGGGGGUUGCUUCAGAUAAAGAGUGAGGUGUCUAUAUUUGAGGGACUUUAGCAUAAUUGAGAUAUACAUGGUCAAUAGUGUGUGCACUCAAGGUUGAUCAAUUUGUUUCACAGUUUGGACUAUGAGAUAACGAUACUUUUGAACAUGCGUGAUAUACUUUGAUGUACCAGAAUUACAAACCUAAGAUUGGAAUUUUGGAAUUCGACUCCAUCAUUAGCUUUUGUAAUUCAUUUAAACGGAGGUACAUUUUUAAGCUGGGAUUUCAUGAUUUCAAAUUCAUAUAUCAAACCUAGAGAUAUACACAUACGGGCAUGUUCAAACUUUAUAAUCAUCCACUUUAUUCAUACACAUACACAUUUUUGCUUUUGUCAUCAUAUUUAGGAUAAACACAUUUGGAAUUUCAUUUGAAUUGGACCAUAUGAUGGUAUUUGCCUGUAGUAGCUCAAUGAUCCAUAUUUGAAUUGAAUGGACAAUCUAAGUUUCGAGUUGGAGACAUUGAUUUUCAAAACUUGCACUUUUUUGCGUGCAAAACAAACAAAUUCUCAGCCAUGAUAUCAUAGUCGGCCGUACAAGAGCAGAAUAUAAUUUCAGGCGCCAAAAGCUUUCAAACUUUCUGCUCACAUCGAGAUAUCUCGCGCCCAAAAGUUUAGCCCUGCGAUAUUCCUGUUUUACCCCCGCCACAUGAACGGAAAAGGGCUGCUUUGGUAACUCCAUUGUUUUCCCCUCUUUGCCCCCAACAUUCCUCCCCAGAGCCCCUCCCCUUCCCCUCCCCGACCCCCCCCCAACCACGGCAAGCCGCCGAAUCUAGUCCUCCGCCGCAGCGGUGGACCUCACACCCCGACGGAUCUACCUUCCGCACCUUGGAACCCCCAACUGCCAACUCACCACUUCACCGGAGCCGCUUCAGCGACUGGCUUGUACACCGCUCCAGAUCUCCUUGACUGCCAUCAUGGUCCACCGCACCGGAUCUGCUUAACCGGCGCCCUCGUCCACCAUAGUGUAGGCCCUUCACUGACUCCCUCGUCCGUCCCUUCGCUGGCCCUUCAUACAAGCCCUCGUCCGCCGCAACAGAUCCGCCUCAACGAAAGCACUGUACAACGCGCCCGCCGAAGCCUUCGUCCACUGCACCGGACCCGCUCCACGGACGCCAUAUUCAACUCCACCGGCCCUGCUUUACCGAUGCCGCAGCCUCAUCAGGUUAUUUCAAUCUGUACUCCUUCGAUUUUUCUCUUUAUAGUGCAACUGUUCACUUACCACAGAUGAGCUUUCUUGUAUGUCGACAGGCGCCGCAACCGUAGCACCGGAGCCGCUUCAGCGACGGCGACAGCCGACCCAAACUCAACCGCAACACGAGCACCAUCGACGAUCCUUAGCUAUCAAGUAUGCCAACGAUACCCAUACGCCGCCGAGAAUCAGGUACUAUUAUCCAACGGCCGGCGCCUACGUUCACUUUCUUAGCAUAAGCACCGCACCUUUGAAUUUCUUCAGGGCAUCAUUCAGUUUUUCAUGAGACGCGUUAUUCUGCUUGCACCUAUAGGGCCAUACUUCUGGCAGUGAACAUGUUACAUGUGCUAAAUUACAUACCAGUGCACAUAUAGUUAAUAUGCUUUAGUUUUGUCCUAAGUAUUACUGUACUUCCUAGAUAUCACUGCCUACUAUUUUACUUCUUGCAUGCUAUAUUUAUGAUAAUGGUGUUGUUCUGAUGCCACCUGUUGGUUCCAUCAGACUGCUUCAUGUUCUCUAUGCUUAAUUACACAUCAGCAAACUAGCAUGUGGUUCCGCUGGUUUUUGUUCGUUUUACCCUACAUUUUCUGAUGCUAGCUAUUACAUCACUGCUACGAGCCUCUGUUCAUUACUUUUUUGUGUGUUCUUGAUCUUCCCAAGUUGCAUGACUAAUUUGAUGCUUCUAUUAAUUAUGGAGCUGCCAACCCCAUCAAGCAAAAUAUUUGUUCUUUUGGGGCUGGCACCUCGAACAAGCAUAAAAAUAGAGGGAAGCAGAUAUAUUGUCGUGUAUGCACACACCCUUCUUUCAUUAGUUUAGAUGAACCAUUGAUGAUCAAUUCGAACCAGUGCAUGCGAUUAAAAUUAAUUUUACCUAAAUAGAGGGUGCAGAAUAAACUACAACAAGUAGAUUUGCAACCACGGGAUGCUGACGAUAUCUUCAAAGAACAUUGCAACAGCAGCGAGGCUUCACAGCAACAUAUGGUAAGCCAGUGUGUUUUAUUACAUGUGAAAUGUAAUGCGUGUGGGCUGCUUUCUUGGCUUGUGCCCUCAACCUGUAAUCCUACAGAAUAACAAGUAGUUCAGUUGUCUGCUUUGUUGUAUUGCUUGAUUCGAAUGCUUGUUUGUUACUUGUUACGCUAUACCUGAGUUGGCCAAUAUGUCAGCAGUGCCUGCUAUACUAUCGUAAAGAAAUGCAUGCCUAGUUCAUUUGAGUCCUUAACUUUUCCUCUGAACUUCAUCACAAGACUGUCUUCGUAGUUUAUAUGAGGCCACACUGUUAAGUGCUUUCUCAGAUUAUUUCAACUGCUUAGAUGCCUUGGCAACUUAGCGGUGGUACACUCCCUUUCAACUAGGGAUGUCAACUGGGUCCCGUUUAAUCCCGAUUAAAGUCCACUAGUGGUCUGAUAGUUCAAAAGAGUUUUUGUUUUUUGAGGAAAAUGAACCAGGGAGCUAGCAAAAACUAACUAGAUGGGACUGGCGGAUGUCGUUUAUUUGCCACUUACAUCCCUAGUUUCAUCUUACCAUUUUAAUUUCUUUUCGGCUGGUGCUGCUUCGAACCAUUUAAAUAUAGCUUGCCAUGCUCGGCAAUAAUUUGUAUGUCGUUUACCAUGUAAGCUUACUGCCUAGAUCAUGCGAUAACUAUCUCUUACUUAUGUCCAGCGGAAACCUUUCAGGAUGUCGUUCACACUAGGACACAAUAUACAACCCCAGAAUCUAUUUGUGGAAGCAGUGCGCCAUCCAUGUUACCAGAUGGUAGCAGUUCAGAGGCAACACCGCCGGAGAGCAAUCUGAGCACAGAUAUUAUAGUUCUUGAGGCUCUACUAGAGGCAGAAAGAGAUGGUGUGGCUGCCAUGAAUGAGGUAAUCUCGAUCUUGAAGCUGGAAAUUAUGCAAUUAGCUGCACGCAUUAUGCAAGCAACCCAAGAAUUGGAGGAAGUAAGAAUGUUGCAUUUGAAGACGGAGGAGGUCCUGCUACUUCUGCUAUCUGAAGCCCAGGGUAAUCCCAGUUCUUCUUUAGAUAGCAGUUGAAAUUGUCAUUAGAUUAUUGUACUUGCAUGUCGUGUCAUGUCUCUGAAUGGAUUAUGUUGUCAGACCCCCUAUGUUGUCCAUGUGUUGUAAUGAUCCGAAUUUUUUAGGUGAGGUAAUCCUCAGUACUUGUAUGAUUGACAUAAGGUGAACUGUUUUUCGUGUGAGCAUAUUGUAUUGGAUGAAAUAAUUGUUUGACUCAAAGUGUAUCCAACCUACUGAAUUCGAAGAUCACGACAUUUCUAAAUCAUAAUCAUAUAUAAAGGUGGAAUAAAUCUUUGUUGUGGUUUUGAAGAAAUAAAUAACAAAACGUAGAAUUAUCUGUGGAUAUUCGUAAUCGAAUAAAAAUUGGAUUUGGAUUUAGUUGACAGGGCCCAGGGCAAACGUGAAUGCUAAUUCUCCCAAGUUUUGAACGAAGCGGCUAAACACCCACUAUAAUUUGUGGGCUGCCCGAAGCAAGUGUUUGCGAGAUGGAAAUUACUGUCUACCCCUGACACUUGACAUCCUUAUCGACCGGAUUUACACUGUUGUCAAUAAGGGUAGACUAGUAACUUCAAUCAGACGUGACACGACGGCCUCUGAGCCCAUUCAGACACGUGGGGCGCCAAACGUGGGUGGCAAAACACAUUUGAUUCAAGCUCGUCCGAAAGACAUGUGUCUCUCCCUCCAUUUCCCCAUUAAUCCACAGUGGGCGGCAAAACAAACUCUCCUCGUCCGAAAUCGAUGUAGGCUAAUAUUUUAAAUAGGGGCAGAUGUGUAACUUCCCUCAGACGUGACACAACUGCCCUACCUGUCAGCCCCGUUCAUACACCAUGGCGCCAACCGUGGGCGGCAAAACACCCUCUCCUCGCCCAAAAUCGUUACCGGCAAAUAUUUGGGAGAUGCGAGAUCACCGUCUUAUCCCCAACCGACGUGAUGUCUGAAAUUUUAAACGGGGGAUAAGUUCGUAACUUUCCCACAUUUCAGACAAGCGCGUCCCAAAGUUUGAGAUCCCCCCUCCCCCUCCAUUUCCCCAUUCAUACACCAUCGGCGCCACGACAACCUCCCCACUGCGGCCAGCCUCCUCCGUCCGCCACCCCAUCCUCCACCUUGCCGAAGCCGCUACCCCUACCCCGUCGUCCACUGCAAGAGAUGGACGUCUCUCAUCCACGGUGUCGGAGCAGGAUCCUUUCAUCACGUCGUCUCGCUUCAUCGGCGCCGUCGUCCACUUUGUCGUUGCCGCUCCUACGACCGCCUCGUCCACGGCAACAUGAUUUAUCCCCCAACCCGGUCGUCUGCCAUCUAAAGUCUUCUUCCCCGCCGCCGACAGCCAUCGCACCCGCAGCACCCUCGACGUAUCGGCAGGGGCCUACACGUUGUCGCAAGAGAGGUGGUACUCUUCCAUAUGUGCUUAAGUUAUUGAUCUCACCCGGAAAAUAGAUCUUAAAUUGUUUACUGUACUUUUCUUGUUCGUACCAAAUCGUAGUGGCUAGUUGAAUGCAAACAUUGGUUGCGAAGUAGCUUUGCCCGGUUUGCACCUUCAGAUCCGCCAUGUCACGGUCACUAUACUCAUAAAGCUUAUGGUUUCCCCCUUUAUAUUCACUACCACCAUCGUAGGUGCUUCCCUGCUUCGUGUCGUGCUAGCACUGCUCCUCAAGACCUCAACCAUCAAGCGAAACAACAUGCCACUCAUAAUUCCAAAGCUUAUGUGUUGAAAUACGAAUCUGAUAUGAUGCUCAUAUUACUAAAACAGAGAACGUUUAAUUGGUCACCUGAUGUUCCUAUAUUCGUUUCGAAAAGCAUGUGCGCCACCCACUGGUCCAGCUAGUUCCACUUUCCUGAUUUUACUCUUGAUGCUUAGGGUUUUCCCCUUUUAUCUACUCUACUAUGAUCUGCAUAGGUGCUUUCUGUCAUACUAGCAUUACUCCACCCUUCAAGCUAAACAACACAACACUCAAAAUUCCAAAGCUUAGUUGUUCAAAUAUGAUUGUGAUAUGAUAUUGAUAUUAGUUAACAGACACAUUUAAUUGGUUAGCUAAAGGUCCCACUUGAGUUUCCAAAUGCAUGUCGUCACAUAUAGAGAGACAGCAGAAUUGCAUUUCUUUGCCACUUGUUGACUGUACUUUAUUGUUCAUACCAAAUCUUAGUUGUUAUUUCAAAGCAAAUAUCGGUUGCUAACUACCCUUUGCGCAGUUUGCAGCUUCAGAUCUGCCAUCCCACUACCACGGUCAACACUAUACUCAUCAUGCUUACGGUUUCCCCAUUUUAUGAUGACCACGAUCAGCCUACGUGGUUCGUGUCGUAAUAGCACUGCUCCACCCAUCGAGCUAAACAAGCUUAGUUGUACAAAUUCAAAUCUGAUAUUAUGCUGAUAUUAGUAAUACUGAGAUAUGUUUAAUUGGUCGGCUAAAUGUUCCUACUUUAGUUUCGAAAUGCAUGUGAGCCACAUAUGGAGAGACCCGAAGGAAUAGUAUUUCUCUGUGCGCUCUGGUUCAUCAUGGGUGGCCAACCGACAUUGUAUAGAAAGACUUGUAAUAUCUUCAAUCUACUUGCUCUUCUGCUCUUCUUUAAGAUGAUCCUCUUCUCUUGCGGUCGACUGGUCAGGUCGAGUUAUUCUCCCUUAGUAUAUUUUGAAUCUGUCAGGUCAGGUCGACUUGUUCUUCUUUACUAUAUGUUGAAGCUGUCAUCUGCGAAGUAUCAUCACUUCUGGAGCUCUCAUAUUUUGAGUAGUAGGCCACAUUAUAUUAAUGCACACACCAAAUUACAGCAUGCAUGGCACCUCUUAGAAGUUGCAGAGAUAGGACAAAGGGGUUUACAGGGAGGAAGUAUCGGAUUAGAAUCACUUCUGCAUUACAAAGAUAAUCUCACUUGUUUUUAUGUUUUCAUGCAUGUCAGGUAUUGAACAUUAUCAAAAUGAAUAUGAGAAUGGGCGCACGAGAGGAAUAUUGCGGAACGAUCCACUGGCUAACAAACUUGGCAUGGUGGAGGAUGACCUAUCUUAUUCACCCAUCAAGGUGCAUGCUCUAACUUGGCAAGGUUGUAUUGGUCGCACAUAUUUUUCAUCUGACCUCUUGCAUUACUUCUACUUUGUUACACCAUCUGCUUAGUUUAAGCAUCAUAUAUGAGUAUAUGCCAUACCUAUCCAUUUUUUGUACCUAUUCCAUGUGUCGUCAUACUAUGUUUUUCCAGUCAAAUGUUGUUCUUUCGUAAUAGAUGUCCAAAAGGAAGAGGGUGAUUGCAGAUCCUCAAGGAGUACAAACUAGGUAUUUGGAAAAGGUAGUGAUACCUGUUAAAUCAGAUAGAUCAGCAGCCACAGAAAACAUAGGCCCAACUGUAACAGACUUUACCCCUACUCCAGUGGCCAAACCCCUAUUAGAACUGCUGGCAGCCCAGUGUCGGGUACUGUCUAUGAUAUGAAUUCAAAAUUUGAACUCCUAAAUGUCUGCAUGUGCCUUACCUUCUCUCUUGUAUGAAAACUAAUUUCAGAUGAAUCUCCUUGCUCAAAGGAUCAUAGGAUCUCACGACAAUACUGGGCUCUGCAUUGCUCUUGUCAGUACCUCUUGCCCUUUGUCAGCAUACUUGCACUCAUUGUUGUUUGAUUAUGUAGCAUCACUGUAAAUGUUCUCUUCUUUAUCCUUCCUUUGCUUGAAAUUAUAAGAUCUAUAUUUACUCUUAGAUAAAUGUAGAAUUAACACAAUGGUUAUGAAGUUUUGGAUUGCUCAUGUAAGUACCUGUUGUCAUGUACUCCCUCUGUAUCGAAUUAAUUGUUGAUCAAUUGGAUGUAUUUAGAACUUAAUAGUGCUAGAUACAUCCAUUUGAGCGACAACUAAUAAGGACGGUGGUGGUAUUACUGUACAUGCAUCGCGAGAUAGUUGAUUGUCUAGCAUUAGUCUGCAUCUUAUCUGCCCUGCCCUCCACUUUCUCCAAAUAUCAUAUCUACAUUCACUCUUACCAAAAUGUUGAAUAAAGCCAAUGCCACUGCACACAUUGAUGUCUCCACUCCUCUUGUCAGUACCUUUUGCCUUGUAACGCUGUACUUAAUUAAUUGCUAUUUGAUUAUGUAUCAUCAGUCUGCACCUGAGCUUCAUUAUCCUCUAUUUCUUCCAAUAUUAUUUGAUCUAUAUUUACUCUUUGCAAAAUGUAGAAUAAUGGCAACGCUUAUAAAGAAUUUUCUUUGGGGAAUUUAUUGAAUUAUCGUUCCAUCAACAUGGAGAAGGGCUUUGUCCAGCCCGUGUUAACAUGUAAUGUAAGUUCAUCCUUCUCAAGCCUUCAAACUUUGUUCUAGUAUAGAUUUGGAUAGGCAUCAUUUCCUCCACUGUUGUUUACAUCUGAUUGGAUGUCUGCAACAACUACCAGUUUUAAAUUGUAGUUGUAAAAACAUGUUCCUUAUGCAGAACAGAUCCAUUUAUUUGCUUAUAUAAUUGUGAAACCUGUUACGUGUCUCCUUGUUUCUCUUUCAGAGUCGUAUCUCUUAUGUCAGGCAGAACUUUAGGAAAGAUAGUGAGCCAAACCAUCUUGAGGACAGCGAGAUGACCCCAAGGUCCUGUCUUGAUGAAGACAGUGAGUUGAAGCUACUCACCAGCAGGUGUGAGACAACCUCUGUGCAGUCGCUGCCUCAAUCAGUUCGACUUCUUCAGUCUCAACUUAAAGCGGAAAGGCUUGCUUCAGCUCAGCUCCGACUUGAAGUCAAAGAUGUAAUGAAGAUGUCAGAGGACUGCCUUGCGCACUAUGGUGCCAUACAACUAUGGAUGAAGCAUCUAUUGUUGACACAACUGAGGUCUCAUCAGCUUGUUCGGCUGCUUGCGGGGGCCCGAGCUUGCCAGGUCUAGUGCCUUCUGAAGUGCUCUCAGUUUUGUAUAUUCUUUUGUCGGCGCGUUUAUAUGCACUGGUGGCGACCUUUGAUGCCCAGUGUAUGUAAUCCGCGGUCAUGUUGCGCUUUAUUAUCACCGGGUAGCGAACUUUGAUUCCUAAUAUGCCGUAAUUUCUUUGUUGUAUAGUCUAGGUUUAUUCUUUGGUCGGUAUGCUGUAAUUUAGGCUGGAAGGUUCAGUGGAUCUCAGUGUUGUCGGUCUUCAGGCCGGCUCGUUACUCAUAUGGGCCAAAACGUGGGCCUAUAAUCAGCUUGGGCCAUUAGCAGGUCUAAACCUAUAGUAGUUUCCCGCCUUUAACAGGCCAUGGGCUACAUAUUUACUGUAGUGACACUGGGCUUCCUACGGGCCGUAGAAACAAUGGGCCUUCUACGGGCCGUAGAAACAAUGGGCCUUCUACGGGUCGUAUCAUCAAUGGGCCUUAGACGGGUCGUAUGAUCGAUUGGCCAAACAUGGGCCAAAAACAGACCGCAUUAUGGCCGUAAAUGGGCUAGAGUUGGAGUCAUCCGUUCAUGGGCCGACCAUAACGGGUCGUCGUUAAUAGGCUGUAUUUGAUGACGCUAUGAAAACGACCCAACGUAUUAACGGGCCACAAACGGGCCGACUGUAACCACGGGCUGAAUUUGGCCCACAAGCAGAAGAUGGCAGUAACGGGCCGUAAGUAACCGAAUGCUGGAAAUGAGCCCAAGAAUAAUGGGCCCUGAGAAGGCCGAAAGAUAACAUGGGAUGCAAACGGCCCAAUGGAUUAAUGGGCCAUUAAUGGGUAUAAAGUGAUACACUGUUCAUUACGGGCCAGUUUCACCACAGGCCGUUAAUGGGCCAAGAGUUACAAACGGCCUCAUCUGGGCCGAAAGACGUCAUGGGCCAUACAUGGGCCGGAACUUAAAAUGGGCUGGAAUCAUAUUGGACGGCCCAGAUGAUGCUACUGGGCCUAAUUCGGAUAGGUCGUAACUGGCCCUGGGUUAGCGGGCUAUACAUGGGCUAUAUGCGAACAGGCCGUUAACAGGCUUUCCGUGGGCCAGCCCGCCACCUUUUGACCAAGUCAAAUGGGCCGGCCUUUUCACAGGAAUGGGCCUCUGUUGGGCCGUGCCACGUGUCGACGUAUCAUAGGCGCCUUCUGUCCAAUGAGUGGAUGACAUCUGUCCCAACGGUGAGCCGACACGUGUUUCCUCCAGCCAAUGAUGAUUUUACACGUGGAAAAUCCCCAUUGGUCGGGGCUGUUAGCGGGUUAUCAGAUCCAAAACCGGACCCGAUAGCUUAACGGCGUUCCGUUACGGUGGACGCCACAUGUCGGUCACCCUUGACGAAAGCACUUCUGUGACGCGCGAUUUAUCGUCAUGGAAGUGGACACUUCCGUGAUGAUAAUUUUGGUAAUGUCAUGGAACACUUCUACGACAACACAGGUAUGACUAUCUUGAUUCUGUCAUAAAAUUGUCAUGGAUGUACAUGCAUGACAAAAAUGCGACCUACUGUGACAAACACGUAUCAUCACGGAAGUGUAUUUUUUUGUAGUGUUACAUAGCGCCUAAUGAUUGACACGCAAGUCAUACAAUAAUUAAAGACAACCCUAUGGCUCCUCCCGGUUGCCGUAUGCAUCCACAUGCAAGUCGAUAUAAACUAUUACAAACAUGAUCAUCUCAAAUAUAUCUCAUCAUGUCUUUGCCCAUAUCAUAUCACAACAUACCCUGCAAAAACAAGUUAGACAUCCUCUAAUUGUUGUUGCAUGUUUUACGUGGCUGCUAUGGGUAUCUAGCAAGAACGAUUCUUACAUACGCAAAGCCACAACGGUGAUAUGCAAAUUGCUAUUCAACCUUCUACAAGGACCGCCUUUGUCGAAUCCGAUUCAACUAAGGUGGGAGAGACAGACACCCGCCAGCCAUCUUUAUGCAACAAAGUCACAUGUCUGUCGAUGGAACCGGUCUCAUGUACGUGGACAUGUAAAGUUGGUCCGGGCCGCUUCAUCCCACAAUACCGUCGAAUCAAGAAAAGACCAAGGAAGGAAGCAAUCUAAAUAUCAACGCCCACAAACUCCUUUGUGUUCUACUCAUGAUGUUAUCUACGCAUAGACCUAGCUCAUGAUACCACUGUUGGGGAACCUUGCAUGGGAAACAAAAAAUUUCCUACGCUCACCAAGAUCAAUCUAGGAGAUGACCAUCUACGAGAGGAGAGAUUGCAUCUACAUACCCUUGUAGAUCGCUAAGCGGAAGCGUUAAGAAACGUGGUUGAUGUAGUCGAACGUCUUCGCGACCCAAUCACGAUCCAUCCCGCGAACUCCCAAUCCAAGUGCCGGACAGACGGCAUCUCCGCAUUCAACACACAUACGGCUUGAUGACGCCUUCACCUCCUCAAUCCAGCGAUUGAUGGUGAAGUGGUAGCUCGAGUCCUCCGGCAGCACAGCAGUGUGGUGGCGGAAUCUCAACAGAGCUUCGCUAAGCACUACGGACAGGAAGAGGGAUGCGAGGGAGAGGAGAGGCAGCGCCGUUGCGUGGAGAUGUGCUCUUCGGGUGCGGCUGCCCUCUCUCUACCUGUUUAUAUAAAGGGGAAGGGAGGAGGGGGUGGCGCCCCCUAGGGUUUCCCCUAGGGGGGCGGCGGCCAGGGCAGAUGGGAUCUCCCCUAGGGUGACUUGCCCCCCAAGCCGAGAGGUGGGAAGCCCUAGGGUAACGCCCCCAACCCUCCUGGUUACAUGAGAUGCGGUGAGGGAGGCGCUCAGCCCCUUAGUGGGCUGGUUUUCCCCCUCCCUUGGCCCAUGGGGCCCCCCAACACUUGUCGGGGCCCCCCGAAACCCCCUUUCGGUGACGCUGGUCAUCACCCGGUACCCCCAGAACAAUUCCGGACUCCAAUACCAUUCAUCCAAUAUAUCGAUCUUCACCUCCGGAGCAUUCUAGAGUUCCUCGUCACGUCUGGGAUAUCAUUCGGGACUCCGAACAACCUUCGGUAACCACCAUAAUGACUCAACUAUACUUAUAUCGUCACCAAACAUUAAGUGUGUAGACCCUGCGGGUUCGAGAACUAUGCAGACAUGACCGAGACACCUCUAUGGUCUAAUAGUGGGACCUGGAUGCCCAUAUUGGUUCCCACAUAUUCUAUGAAGAUCUUAUCGGUCGAACCUCGAUGUCAAGGAUUCAGCUAAUCCCGUAUGUAGUUCCCUUUGUCUAUCGGUAUGUUACUUGCCCGAGAUUCGAUCGUCGGUAUCUCCAUACCUAGUUCAAUCUUGUUACCGGCAAGUCUCUUUACUCGUUCCAUAAUAAAAUAUCUCGUGGCUAACUCAUUAUUCACAUUGCUUGCAAGCUCAUUGUGAUACUGUAUUACCGAGUGGGCCCUGAGAUACCUCCUCGUCAUACGGAGUGACAAAUCCCAGUCUUGAUCCAUGCCAACUCAACAUACAUCCUCGGAUAUACCUGUAGAGCACCUUUGUAGUCACCCAGUUACGUUGCGACGUUUAGUAGACACAAGGUGCUCCUCUGGUGUCAGUGAGUUGCAUGAUCUCAUGGUCAUAGGAACAUAUACUUGACAUGCAGAAAACGAUAGCAAUAAACUAGACACGAUCAUAUGCUAUGUUCAUAUAUAGUUUGGAUCUUGUCCAUCAUAUCAUUCUCCUAAUGAUGUGAUCCCGUCAUCAAAUGACAACUCAUGUCUAUGACUAGGAAACAAUAGCCAUCUUUGAUCAACGAGCUAGUCCGGUAGAGGCUCACUGGGGACAUGUUGUUGUCUAUGACCCACUCAUGUAUUUGAGUUUCUAAUCAAUACAAUUACUACAUGGAUAAUAAAUGAUUAUCAUGAACAAGGAAAUAUAAUAAUAACCACUUUAUUAUUGCCUCUAGGGCAUAUUUCCAACAUCACCAUACCUAGUUCAAUCUCGUUACCGGCAAGUCUCUUCACUCGUUUCGUAAAACAAGAUCCCGUGGCUAACCCAUUAGUCACAAUGCUUGCAAGCUCAUUGUGAUGAUGUAUUACCGAGAGGGCCCAGAGAUAUAUCUCCGUCAUACGGAGUGACAAAUCCCAGUCUUGAUCCAUGCCACCCUCAAAGAUACCUAUAGAGCACCUUUAUAGUCACCCAGUUACGUUGCGACAUUUGGUACACACAAGGUAUUCCUCCGGUAUCAGUGAGUUGCAUGAUCUCAUGGUCAUAGGAACAUAUACUUGACAUGCAGAAAACGAUAGCAAUAAACUUGAUAUGAUCAUAUGCUACAUUCAUAGUUUGGGUCUUGUCCAUCACAUCAUUCUCCCAAUGAUGUGAUCCCAUUAUCAAAUGACAACUCAUGUCUAUGGCUAGGAAACCACAGUGAUACGUCUUCAACGUAUCUAAUUUUUCUCAUGCUUUUUCUCUUGUUUUGGACUCUAAUUUGCAUUAUAUGAAUGAAACUAACCCCAUACUGAUGUUGCUUUCAGCAGAACUACCAUGGUGUUGUUUUUGUGCAGAAAUAAAAGUUCUCGGAACGGAACGAAACUUUGCGAGGAUUUUUUUAUCAAUAAUAAGAAUUUCUGGAGCCAAGACCUGCCGGAGAGGGGCACCUGGGUGGGCACAACCCACCAGGGCGCGUCCCCCCUCUCCUGGCGCGCCUAGGUGGGUUGUACCCACCUGGUGGCUCCGCUGACGACCCCCCUAAUACUAUAAAAUCACAUAUUUCCAGAAAAAAAUAGGGGAGAAAGAAUUAUCGCGAUCCACGAGACGGAGCCGCCGCCAAGCCCUGUUCUUCCUCGGGAGGGCAGAUCUGGAGUCCGUUUGGGGCUCCGGAGAGGGGGGUCUUCGUUCUUCGUCAUCACCAACCCUUCUCCAUCGCCAAUUCCAUGAUGCUCCCCACCCGGAGUGAGUAAUUCCUUCGUAGGCUCGCUGGUCGGUGAGAAGUUGGAUGAGAUUCAUCAUGUAAUCGAGUUAGUUUUGUUAGGGCCUGAUCCCUAGUAUACACUAUGUUCUUAGAUUGAUGUUGCUAUGACUUCGCUAUGCUUAAUGCUUUUCACUUUGGGCCCGGGUGCCAUGAACUCAGAUCUGAACCGUUUAUGAAUUCAUCAUUAUAUCCAUGUUUUAGAUCCGAUCUUGCAAGAUAUAGUCACCUACUACGGUUAUGAUCCGACAACCCCAGAGUGACAACAACCGGGGCCACUCUCGGUGAUGACCGUGGUUUGAGGAGUUCAUGUAUUCACUAUGUGUUAAUGCUUUGUUCCGGUUCUCUAUUAAAAGGAGGCCUUAAUAUCCCUUAGUUUCCAAUAUGGACCCCGCUGCCAUGGGAGGGUAGGACAAAAGAUGUCAUGCAGGUUCUUUUAAUAAAGCACGUAUGACUAUUUACAGAUACAUGCCUACAUUAUAUCGAUUAACUGGAGCUAGUGUCAUAUCGCCCUAGGUUACAACUGUCACAUGAUGAAUAUCAUCCAACAAGUCAUCGAUCCAAUGCCUAUGAAUUUAUCCUAUAUUUUUUGUGCUAAGUUACUACUGCUAUCAUCACUGUUACACUUGCUACAAAAUUAUUGCUAUCACUGUUAUUGUUACCGUUGCUACUGUCACUACUAUAAAAACUAUCAAACUACUUUGCUACUGAUCACUUUGCUACAGAUAAUUAAUCUCCAGGUGUGGUUGAAUUGACAACUCAGCUGCUAAGACCUUCAAAUAUUCUUUGGCUCCCCUUGUGUCGAAUCUAUAAAUUUGGGUUAAAUACUUUACCCUCGAAAACUGUUGCGAUCCCCUAUACUUGUGGGUUAUCAAUACCUUUUUCUGGCGCCGUUGCCGGGGAGCAUAGCUAUAUUUGUUGAGUCACUUGGGAUUAUUAUCAUAUUAUCACUAUGAAGAAUCUGGAGGAUCCAAAGACUAAGAUAUUUCCCUCAAGUACGAGGGGAGGUAAGAAACUACCAUCUAGUUCUGCUUUAGAUUCACCUUCUGUUAUGAGUAAACUUGCAACACCACCACAUGCUAUUAAUCCUGAUAUGUCGCAAGUUAUUGAUGAUGCUACUUCUACUAUGAAUGAUGCUUAUGAUGAUGCUAGUACCUUGCUUGAUAAUGAUGAUGUGCCACUUGGUGAUUUUCUUGGUAAACAAAUUGCUAGAGUAAUACAACAUGAUGUUGUUGAAUCUGAUGAUGAGCUUUAAACUGAAACUCCUGAAACACCUGCUAGAACUAGCCUUCCUAGAUAUGAAUUGCCUAAGGUACCGGAAGGUUAUGUUAUGAGUGAAGAAGCAACUAGAGAUAUUCUUGCUUGUAGAGAUAGAGAUGAUCUAGAGAAAUUAUUAUGCAAGUACAAACAAAAAUCUCUGAAUGUUAGAAUGAAAUAUGAUCCUAAGUUUGCUACUUCACCUAUCUUUAUUGAUGAUAAGGAUUAUGAAUUCUCUGUCGACCCAGAGUUAAUUACUCUGGUUGAAUCUGAUCCUUUCCACGGUUAUGAAACUGAAACUGUUGUGGCACAUCUUACUAAGUUGAAUGACAUAGCCACCCUUUUUACUCAUGAUGAGAAGACUCUCUAUUACUUUAUUCUCAAAUUAUUUCCUUUCUCAUUAAAGGAUGAACAAAAGCUUGGUACAAUACUCUUGCUCCUGGUUGUGUACGUAGUCCCCAGGAUAUGAUUUAUUACUUCUCUAAAAAAUAUUUUCCAGCUCAUAAGAAACAAGUUGCCUUACAGGAAAUAUUUAACUUUGUGCAAAUUAAAGAAGAGAGUCUCCCACAAGCUUGGGGGAGGCUUUGCCAGUUACUUAAUGCUUUGCCUGAUCAUCCUCUUAAGAAAAAUGAAAUACUUGAUAUCUUCUAUAAUGGACUAACCGAUGCUUCUAGGGACUUCCUAGAUAGUUGUGCUGGUUGUGUUUCCAGGGAACGAACUGUUGUACAAGCUGAGGAAUUAUUGAAUAACAUACUGAAAAAUUAUGAUGAUUGGACUAUUCCUGAACCACCGAAGAAGAGGGGUAUAUUAUAUCUCAAUCCUGAAGAUAUGCAAGAGGCAAAGAAAUCAAUGAAACCUCCUAUUGAAGAAAUACAUGGGCUUAAUACACCACCACUGCCUAAGGUGGUAGAGGUAAAUUAUCUUAUGAAGUUCAAUGAAAAUGAUAAUCCUCACAAUAUGCAUCCUAGUCAAUGCCUUUAUGAGUUUGAAAACUAUAUUAGAAAACAAGAUCACUUCAAUGCAAAUGUUAUGAAACAAUUGAAAUACAAUUCUGAUAUGAUUGAUCGCUUGAGUGACUUGUUAUUUAGAAUUUUAAAUGAUGUUAGAGGUGUUGGAAAACAUGCUUCUAUGGUUCAAACCCAGUUAGAACAAGUUGCUAAAUCUCAAAGAGAAUUACUUGAUGAAAUGUAUCAUAAUAUGCAUGACUUUGCUAUUAGAGUUGAAACUAGAGGUGGUAAAAUGACUCAGGAACCACUUUAUCCAGAGGGACACCCAAAAAGAAUAGAACAAGAUUCACAAAGAGUUAACACUGAUGCACCUAGUCCUUCUAAAAAGAAAAAAGAAAAAUGAUAGGACUUUGCACACUUCUAGUGAACCUGAAAUAGAGAAACCUCCAGAUAAUGAAAAUGAAACUUCUAUCUCUGAUGCUGAAACUCGGUCUGGUAAUGAACACUCACACAAUGAUAAAGAACCAGCUAAUGAUGUUGAGAUAGACCACAUGUUGAUCUUGAUAACCCACAACCUAAGAAUAAAAGGUAUGAUAAAAGAGACCUUGUUGCUAGAAAACACGAUAAGGAAAGAUAACCGUGGGUUCAAAAACCUAUGCCUUUUCCACCCAAGUCAACUAAAAAGAAAGAUGAUGAAGAAUUUGAACGCUUUGCCGAAAUGCCGAGGCCAGUCUUUUUGCGUACUCGCUUGACUGAUAUCUUGAAAAUGCCUCCUUAUGCAAAGUAUAUGAAAGACAUCAUCACAAAUAAGAGAAAAAUACCGGAAGCUGAAAUAUCCACUAUGCUUGCUAAUUAUACUAUCAAAGAUGGAGUACCUAAAAAACUUGGAGAUCCGGGAAUACCAACUAUACCUUGCUCUAUCAAAAAGAAUUAUGUGAAAACCGCUUUGUGUGAUUUAGGAGCUGGUGUUAGUGUUAUGCCUUUCUCUUUAUAUAAAAGACUUGACUUGAAAAAACUCACACCUACUGAAAUAUCUUUGCAAAUGGCUGACAAAUCAACUGCCAUACCUAUCGGUAUCUGUGAGGAUGUGCCCGUUGUUGUUGCUAAUGUUACUAUUUUGACUGACUUUGUUAUACUUGAGAUGCCCGAGGACGACAACAUGUCGAUUAUCCUUGGUAGACCUUUCUUGAAUACUGCAGGGGCUGUUAUUGAUUGCAAUAAAAGCAAGGUCACUUUUCAUAUCAAUGGUAAUGAGCAUACGGUGCACUUUCCGGAGAAACAGUUCCAAGUGAAUGGUAUUAAUGUUAUUGAAAAAUCUCCGACAAUCACUAUUGGAAGUUUUCAAAUACCUCUACCUACUGUCAAAAAGAAAUAUGAAAUGCUUAUUGUUGGGGAAAUGCAUAUCCCCAUUGAGGUAACUUAGUGAUUUACGAAAGUUCUUUGGUUUCAUGCUAAUCGAAAGUGGUUGUAAUAAGACCUGAUCAACCUUAUUAAUGAAUCAUUUUUGAGCGGUAUGAAGUUGAUGAAUUUAGUAAGCACUACCUUCUGUCCUUACCUUUUUGUUUUUUGUUUUUGUUAGUUAAAUAAAAUAAAAUGCCAUGUUUUGUUUGUUUUCUGAAUUUCCCGUGCAAUAAAAAAUGACCCAAAAAUAAAAGUUCUCAGAAUGCCCUGAAAAUUUUACACGAUUUGUUUUUUCAAUAUUUAAGAAUUUUUGGUGCAAAUAAUACCAGAGGAAGGUCCACCAGGUGAGCACAACCCACCUGGGCGCGCCAAGACCCCCAGGCGCGCCCUAGUGGGUUGUGGUCCCCACGUGGGCCCCCUCACUUAUCUCUUUAACCCACAUCAUCACUUACCUCCAGAAAAAAAUCCCCAUUGCUCUCUCUCCCGUGUUCUUGAGCUCAAACCCGCGGAUUUCGAUCUCUUUGCUCGAAGCUCCGUUUCCGAAACUGUUUUGGGGGAUUGUUGCUUGGUAUGCGACUCCACCGUUUGUCCAAUUAGUUUUUGUUUUUGUGGUUUAUACUUUGAAUAAUUAGCUACUCUUGGUGCUGCUGUAGAUGUGCUUGCAUGUUUAAUUCUUAGUGUUCUAAGUAGUUUGAAUGCUUGCUAUGGCCUCUAUGUACCCCUAUGAGUAGUUGCUAUCAAUUUUGUGAACUUUUGUUGAGAAAAUUUUGUGAACUAAAAAUUCAGAUUUUUGUUCAUAGGAAAAAUUGUACGCGGACAUGAUGAACCUAUUUGGAAGGAGUUCUUCGAGGAGACGAUCCUCGGGGGCAUCUCCUAGUGACAGUUCUGCUCGCCGGUCUUAUGUUGAACCAAGUGAAAGUUCCACGCGAGAUACCACCAACAAAACAUGCUUAUGGCCUUGCGAUGAAUAUAUGGUGCGUGUGGGCAUCAAGGAGGAAUUUGAACAAUAUGUUCACAAUGCCGGUCUCGGUCCCUACCUUUUAGAUAAGUGUGAACAACACCAACUCCUCACUGAAUCAUUUGUCAAGGGAUUUAAAUAUUUUCCACGUGAGUCUAGGGUGUCUUUUAUGCUUUAUGAUGAACCAUUUACUAUCCCACUAGAGAAUUUUGCUUACCAUUGCAAACUUCCAUUUUGGGGUUCGCUUGAUGAGCCACCAAAGGCUGAGUUCGAGUCUUUCUUGACUAGCCUUUGUUACGGUGAAAGUAGGGGAGUGAGACAAGGAAGAAUAAAGAGCAUUCACUUUCCCGCAAUUCAGUACUUUGCAUUAUUUAACGGGAAAUGCAUAGUAGGAAAGCAAGACUGUAGCAUACUUUGUGCGCCAGACUUGAGCCUCAUUCACACCGCUCUCACUGGUGAAAGGAAUUAUAACCUUGGAGCGAUUGUUGCACGUAGACUUCAGCAUAACGCCAAAAGUGGCUGGUUCUAUGGUGGAAUUUAUGCCACAUGUCUAGCAUGAGGGCUGGGUGUUUCACCUUUGCCCUUUGAUCCUAUCCUACCCACUCAAUAUUUAGAUUUUGAUGCCUUAAAAGAGCAUAAGAUUCUCAAGGGAAGGGCUGAUAACUUCACUUAUAAUUUGUUGUUUAACCAAUCACAUGUUAUGGACACAUAUUUGUCUGCGCCUGCUCUCUUUGAUUAUCACAGCAAGGGAAGAUAUUUUGUUCUUGAGAGCAAGGCUCUAGCUCACAACGCAGCAGUGCUGGUGGCGCGGCAUGCCGAGGCAUCUGCACCAAGAGCCUCUGUGAGCUACCACGCCGACUACUACCCUCCAGGCUACUGAUCGACUACCAACUUAGGCCAAAAGCCUAAGCUUGGGGGAGUAUGUGUUUCUCACCGACAUUAUAUCCAUGUCUACAUAUCAUUUUAUUUGUCGGUGUCCACACUUUUUCAUUGUAUCAUCCAUGCUUAGUUUUAUUUUCUUGCUUUCUUCUUGUGUGCUUGAAAAACUUAAAAAAACAAAAAAUUAGUUGUAGUAAUUUACUUUCUGUGCAUGCUAGUAGUAGUAUUAAAAAGAAAAUCCAAAAAGAUUUCCUUGUUCUUCUUUUGCUUGUUGGGAGCUUUCCCGUGUAAAUAGUUUUUCUCAUUUUUGCUUUUUAUUUUGCUUGUUGAAGAAAACCAAAAACUCCAACAAUAUUUCAGUGUGUUUCUCUGAAUUUCUUUUCUUUUUAUUCGAGUCUUACCGAGGAGAAGACCAUGAUGAAAAUAUUGAGUGGCUCUCACAUGAAUAACUAUUGAACUAAUAAAGAGCCCAUUUUACCUUGUCUUCUCCUGUUGAAUAAAAUGUUUGCAUAUUCCAGCUUAGUCCACAACACUCUUGCACUAUUAUUGUUUUCAUAUCAUUCGGUCGUGCAAGUGAAAGGCAAUAAUGACGAUAUUCGAUGAACUGGCCGUGGCAAAGAGAAACUGGUAUGAACUCGACUUGUUCUGUUUGUGUAAAUAUGUUUAACCUAGUAUCCAGGCUUCAGCCCAUUAUGAUUAAACAUGUUUGCAAUGACAAUUAGAGAUUAGAGUUUCUCAUGCCAUGGAUAAGUAGCUGGGAGUUAAUAUGAUUUAUCUUGAAUAUCAACAUAGCGUUAAAAUGAUUGUGAUGUAGUAUGAUGAUAUGGUAUCCUCCUCUGAAUGUUCGAGUGGCUUGACUUGGUACAUGUUCAUGCAUGUAGUUGGAUCAAAACCAACAUAGCCUCUAUAAUAUUUAUGUUCAUGGUGUUCAUAUCCUACUCAUGCUAGUGUCCAAUGUUACUUAUGCAUAAUGCAUGGUUAUGAUCGUUGUUGCUCUCUAGCUGGUCGCUCAAUCUAAAUUGCUAGCCUUCGCCUGUACUAAGUGGGAAUUCUGCUUGUACAUCAAAAACCUUGAACCCAAAGUUAUUCCAGAUGACUCCACCAUACCUACCUAUAUACGGUAUUACCCUGCCGUCCUAAGUAAAUUUGCAUGUGCCACGUCUAAAAAUUUCUAAAAAAUUAUCCUUUUUGUGUGCCUGGAUCGUUUAUGGAACGACAGGAGGUGGUCGAUAUCUUCCGUGCUAAGCGGGUUAUUCUCGGGACGAGUGUUUAUUCACUCGCCAUCGCAUGAGAAAAUGGGCGGUAAUAGGGAUGCCCAGUCCCAAAUUGCAAACAUGAAAAAGAGCUCAUCUCUGAAAUAAUCAAACAAAAACUCCCAACAGAGUCAAAACCUUUACUUUUAUCGCUUGGGAACAGCCACUAGCGUGCUUAGCAUGGAAGAUGUUGAUAAUUGAUGGUCGUGAAGUGAAUGAGAAGGGUGCAUGUCUCAAAAUAUCAUUUAUCUCUGUUUUAAAAAUUGAGCUCUGGCACCUCUGCAAAUCACUGCUUCCCUCUGCGAAGGGACUUUCUAUUUACUUUUAUGUUGUGUCACCACCUUCUAAAAGAAGCGCCAGAAACUGACUAGAGCACAGUUGUCAUGAUUUAUGCAUUGUGUGUAGCUAAUGUUGGGUGCAUCAUGACUGGAUCUUUUCUACCAUGAAUUACAAUGUUUAGUCGCUGCUUGAACAUUGGAGGUGCUCUGCAUUUAUGUUUUGCGGUCUCAGAAAGGGCUAGCGAGAUACCACUAUUGUCAUAUUAUAUCAUGGUUUUUUUGACAACGUGUUGCUGUUUGAGAUAUCUUAUUAUUGCUCGCUAGCUGAUUAUGUCAUUGAUAUGAAUCAUUAUAAUCUUUAAGAGUUAUUGUCGACAUGGUUAGUUAUAAUGUUGGCUGAAAACCUGGGUGUUGUUUAAGCUUAUUUACGCAAACAAGAGCAAAAGAGUUCGUAAAAGUUUUUCUUUCUCACUUUCAGUUUAUCAACUGAAUUGCUUGAGGACAAGCAAAGGUUUAAGCUUGGGGGAGUUGAUACGUCUCCAAUGUAUCUACUUUUUCUCACGCUUUUCCUCUUGUUUUGGACUCUAAUUUGCAUGAUAUGAAUGGAACUAACUCCGGACUGACGCUGUUUUCAGCAGAACUACCAUGGUGUUGUUUUUGUGCAAAAAUAAAAGUUCUCAAAAUGGAACGAAACUUUGUGAGGAUUUUUUAUAUCAAUAAUAAGAAUUUCUGGAGCCAAGACCUGCCGGAGAGGGGCACCUGGGUGGGCACAACCCACCAGGGCGCGCCCCCCUCUCCUGGCGCGCCUAGGUGGGUUGUACCCACCUGGUGGCCCCGCUGACGACCCCCCUAAUACUAUAAAUCACAUAUUUCCAGAAAAAAAACAGGGAGAAAGAAUUAUCGCGAUCCACGAGAUGGAGCCGCCGCCAAACCCUGUUCUUCCUCGGGAGGGUAGAUCUGGAGUCCGUUUGGGGCUCCGGAGAGGGGGGUCCUCGUUCUUCGUCAUCACCAACCCUUCUCCAUCGCCAAUUCCAUGAUGCUCCCCACCGGGAGUGAGUAAUUCCUUCGUAGGCUCGCUGGUCGGUGAGGAGUUGGAUGAGAUUCAUCAUGUAAUCGAGUUAGUUUUGUUAGGUCCCGAUCCCUAGUAUCCACUAUGUUCUUAGAUUGAUGUUGCUAUGACUUUGCUAUGCUUAAUGCUUAUCACUUUGGGCCCGGGUGCCAUGAACUCAGAUCUGAACCGUUUAUGAAUUCAUCAUUAUAUCCAUGUUUUAGAUCCGAUCUUGCAAGAUAUAGUGACCUACUACGGUUAUGAUCCGACAAUCCUGGAGUGACAACAACCGGGCCCACUCUCGGUGAUGACCGUGGUUUGAGGAGUUCAUGUAUUCACUAUGUGUUAAUGCUUUGUUCCGGUUCUCUAUUAAAAGGAGGCCUUAAUAUCCCUUAGUUUCCAAUAUGGACCCCGCUACCACGGGAGGGUAGGACAAAAGAUGUCAUGCAAGUUCUUUUAAUAAAGCACGUAUGAUUAUUUACGGAAUACAUGCCUACAUUAUAUCGAUGAACUAGAGCUAGUGCCGUAUCGCCCUAGGUUAUAACUGUCACAUGAUGAAUAUCAUCCAACAGGUCACCGAUCCAAUGCCUAUGAAUUUAUCCUAUAUUGUUUCUGCUAAGUUACUACUGCUAUCAUCACUAUUACACUUGCUACAAAAUUAUUGCUAUCACUGUUACUGUUACCGUUGCUACUGUCACUACUACCAAAACUAUCAAACUACUUUGCUACUGAUCACUUUGCUGCACAUAAUUAAUCUCCAGGUGUGGUUGAAUUGACAACUCAGCUGCUAAUACCUUCAAAUAUUCUUUGGCUCCCCUUGUGUCGAAUCUAUAAAUUUGGGUUAAAUACUUUACCCUCGAAAACUGUUGCGAUCCCCUAUACUUGUGGGUUAUCACACAGCCAUCUUUGAUCAACGAGCUAGUCCUGUAGAGGCUCACUAGGGACAUGUUGUUGUCUAUGUAUCCGCACAUGUAUUUGAGUUUCCGGUCAAUACAAUUAGAGCAUGGAUAAUAAACGAUUAUCAUGAACAAGGAAAUAUAAUAAUAUCCACUUUAUUAUUGCCUCUAGGGCAUAUUUCCAACAAUCUUGAUCUCCAAGAGGAGGGGAAGAUGAGAAAAGCUCUCUCAAUGUCUAUCCAAUACUUUGCUAACCCCAAAGACGAGCUAGAAGAUUACUUAUAGGGUAGGGACGUAUUGGGGGUAAAACAAGGGUACAUGGGUAAAUUAGCCCUAAAUGCGUGUAGGCACGGUGGAGGGUCUGGGCUCCCAGGAUAAAGGGGUUCGGGCACCCGGGGGUCGCUGGGAGACGGAGGGCCGGGCACCCGGGUGCGCCAGGAGAGGGGGCCCAAGCACCUAGUGGUGUGAGGCUCGGGCACCCGGGGCGUCUCGGGGGUUGCGCCUUUGGCGGCUGUAGGGGGACGGGCACCUGGGGGCUGAGGGCCCGGGCACCCAGGGUGGGCUUAGGGCCUCGCCCAGGCAGCAGCCGAGCACCCGGGGGCCAAAGAGGUCGGGCACCCUGGGUGGCAAGGGAGGCGCCCAAUCGGUGGAUGGGGAGCCGAGCACCCGGGGCUGCAGGUGGCCGGGCACCCGGAGUGGUCUGGGACCUCCGUUGCUUCGUGCUUCUCAUGUCUUGCAUUCUCCUCCUUCUCCAUGGUCGUUUGCAUAUCUACCCUAGCUUCUUCAUGAUCAUCUCCUUGGUACCUAAGAAUGCAUAACAUUUCCAUUUGAGGUAGGACCCAACUCUCAUGUGAAUUCAAAUGGAGUUCAAAGAGGAAAGAGUUAACCUCGGUUUCGGUGGCACGUGCGCGAGCUCUCGUCAUUGGUCCUCUUCGUGGUGCUUGAUGAGUUUUAAUGGAAUCCAUGGGGAUGAUGGAGGGAUGCUCUGCAUCAUCUCCCCACCCUUGGGAGAGAUCUGUCAGCGGAUCGUGAUCUUCAUCACCAUGGUAUUUGGCCAAGUCCUUGACAUUGAAGAUGUCGCUAACAUUGUACUUGUCGCGUGGGAUGUCUAUCUUGUAGGACUUGUCAUUGUAGCGUGCUAGCACCUUGAAGGGUCCAUCGGCUCGUGGUAGUAGUUUGGACUUGCGUUCGUUGGGGAAGUGGUCCUUGCGAAGAUGGAGCCAUACGAGAUCUCCCGGUUGGAACACCAUUGGUGUCUUGUUGAUGUUGAGCUUGGUGGGGAGGCGGUGUACUUGACGCUCGAUCGUGGACCUUGUUUCUUCAUGCAUCUUCUUGAGGUAAGUGGCACUUGCGCUAGCGUCCAGGUUUGCUCGUUCUUCGAGCGGUAGAGGAAGGAUGUCCAAGGGCGACAAAGGGUUGAAGUCGUAGACAACCUCGAAGGGGGACUUGCUGGUAGUAGAGUGUCUUGCACGGUUGUAAGCGUACUCGGUGAUGGGUAAGCACUCCUCCCAAACCUUGAUGUUCUUCUUGAUCAACACGCGUAGGAGAGUGGAGAGCGUCCAGUUAGUGACUUCCGUUUGGCCAUCGGUUUGAGGAUGAUGUUGGGGAACACAGUAUUUCAAAAAAUUUAUCUACGAUCACGCAAGAUCUAUCUUGGAGAUGCAUAGCAACAAGAGGGGAGAGUGUGUCCACAUACCCUCGUAGACCGAAAGCGGAAGCGUUUAGUAACGCAGUUGAUGUAGUCGAACGUCUUCGCGAUCCAACCGAUCCAAGCACCGAACGUACGGCACCUCCGCGUUCAGCACACGUUCAGCUCGAUGACGUCCCUCGAACUCUUGAUCCAGUUGAGGACAAGGGAGAGUUCCGUCAGCACGACGGCAUGGCGACGGUGAUGAUGAAGUUACCGGCGCAGGGCUUCGCCAAAGCACUGCAACGAUAUGACCGAGGUGUGUAACGGUGGAGGGGGGCACCGCACGCGGCUAAGAGAAGACUUCGUGUGUUCUAGUGGUGCCCCCCCCACACAUAUAUAUAUAGGUGGGAGGGUGAGGGAGCAGCAGGAGGCGCGCCCCAAGUAGGAAGAUUCCUACUUGGGGCAUAAUCCUGUCCGGCCUCCCCCUUUCCAUGUUUUCCGGAGGGAGAAGGAAAGAGGAGGGGGGAGAGAAGGAAAGGGGAGGCCGAAUUGCCCCCCUUCCUUUCUCUACUCUCCCUUUCCUCCCCCCUAUUUGGCCAUGUAUGGGGUGCACCAGCCCACUAGGGCUGGUCUGUCCCGCCCUAGGCCCAAUAAGGCUCAUAUCUUGGCCGGGGGUGCCCGGAACCCCUUUUCGGUGACCUGAUACGUGCCCGGUAGCCCCGGAACACUUCCGGUCUCCAAAUACUAACCUCUUAUAUAUGAAUCUUUACCUCUCGACCAUUUCGAGACUCCUCGUCAUGUCCAUGAUCUCAUCCAGGACUCCGAACAAUAUUCGGUCAUCAAAUCACAUAACUCAUACAAUAUAAUAUCAUCAUCGAACGUUAAGCGUGCGGACCCUACGGGUUCGAGAACUAUGUAGACAUGACCGAGACACCUCUCCGGUCAAUAACCAAUAGCAGAACCUGGAUGCUCAUAUUGGCUCCCACAUAUUCUACGAAGAUCUUUAUCGGUCAAACCGCAUAACAACAUACGUCAUUCCCUUUCUCAUCGGUGUGUUACUUGCCCGAGAUUCGAUCGUCGGUAUCAUCAUACCUAGUUUAAUCUCGUUACCGGCAAGUCUCUUUACUUGUUCCAUAAUGCAUCAUCCCGCAACUAACUCAUUAGUCACAUUGCUUGCAAGGCUUAUAGUGAUGUGUUUUACCGAGAGGGCCCAGAGAUACCUCUCCGAUACACGGAGUGACAAAUCCUAAUCUCAAUCUAAAUUUAUAAUCACCCAGUUACGUUGUGACGUUUGAUAGCACACAAGGUGUUCCUCCGGUAUUCGGGAGUUGCAUAAUCUCAUAUUUAGAGGAACAUGUAUAAGUCAUGAAGAAAGCAGUAGCAAUAAAACUCAACGAUCAUUAUGCUAAGCUAACGGAUGGGUCUUGUCCAUCAUAUCAUUCUCUAAUGAUGUGAUCCCGUUCAUCAAAUGACAACACAUGUCUAUGGUUAGGGAACUUAACCAUCUUUGAUUAACGAGCUAGUCAAGUAGAGGCAUACUAGGGAUACUCUGCUUUGUCUAUGUAUUCACACAUGUACUAAGUUUCCGGUUAAUACAAUUCUAGCAUGAAUAAUAAACAUUUAUCAUGAUAUAAGGAAAUAUAAAUAACAACUUUACUAUUGCCUCUAGGGCAUAUUUCCUUCAGUCUCCCACUUGCACUAGAGUCAAUAAUCUAGUUCACAUCAUCAUGUGAUUUAACACCAAUAGUUCACAUCUUUAUGUGAUUAGUUCACAUCUUCAUCUGACUAAUACCCAAAGGGUUUAUUAGAGUCAAUAAUCUAGUUCACAUCGCUAUGUGAUUAACACCCAAAGAGUGAUCAUGUUUUGCUUGUGAGAGAACUUUAGUCAACGGGUCUACCACAUUCAGAGCCAUAUGUAUUUUGCAAAUUUUCUAUGUCUACAAUGCUCGGCAAGGAGCUACUCUAGCUAAUCGCUCCCAUUUUCAAUAUGUAUCCAGAUUGAGACUUAGAGUCAUCCGGAUCAGUGUCAAAGCUUGCAUCGACAUAACCCUUUAUGACGAACUUUUUGUCACUUCCAUAACCAAGAAACAUGUCAUUAUUCCACUAAGGAUAACUUUGACCGCUGUCUAGUGAUCCACUCCUGGAUUACUAUUGUAUCCUCUUGCCAAACUCAUGGUGAGGUACACAAUAGGUCUGGUACACAGCAUAGCAUACUUUAUAGAAUGUAUGACUGAGGCAUAGGGAAUGACUUUUCAUACUCUUUCUAUUUUCUGCCGUGGUCGGGUUUUGAGUCUUUACUCAACUUCACACCUUACAACUCAGGCAAGAACUCCUUCUUUGACUGAUCCAUUUUGAACUUCAAAAUCUUAUCAAGGUAUGUACUCACUGAAAGUCUUAUCAAGCGUCUUGAUCUAUCUUUAUAGAUCUUGAUGCCCAAUAUGUAAGUAGCUUCACUAAGGUCUUUCAUUGAAAAAUUCUUAUUCAAGUAUCCUUUUAUGCUAUCCAGAAAUUCUGUAUUAUUUCCAAUCAACAAUAUGUCAUUCACAUAUAAUAUCAGAAAUGCUACAGAGCUCCCACUCACUUUCUUGAAAAUACAGGCUUCUCCAAAAGUCUGUAUAAAACCAUAUGCUUUGAUCACACUAUCAAAGCAUACAUUCCAACUCCGAGAUGCUUGCACCAGUCCAUCAAUGGAUCACUGGAGCUUACAGACUUUGUUAGCACCUUUUGGAUUGACAAAACCUUAUGGUUGCAUCAUAUAUAACUCUUCUUUAAGAAAUCCAUUAAGGAAUGCAGUUUUGACAUCCAUUUGCCAAAUUUCAUAAAAUGCGGCAACUGCUAACAUGAUUCGGACAGACUUUAAGCAUAGUACGAGUGAGAAACUCUCAUCGUAGUCAACACCUUGAACUUGUCGAAAACCUUUUGCGAUAAUUCGAGCUUUUGUAGAUAGUAACACUACUAUCAGCGUCCGUCUUCCUCUUGAAGAUCCAUUUAAUCUCAAUGGCUUGCCGAUCAUCGGGCAAGUCAAUCAAAGUCCAUACUUUGUUCUCAUACAUGGAUCCCAUCUCAGAUUUCAUGGCCUUAAGCCAUUUCGUGGAAUCUAGGAUCAUCAUCGCUUCCUCGUAGUUUGUAGGUUCGUCAUGGUCAAGCAACAUGACUUCCAGAACAGGAUUUCUGUACCACUCUGGUGCGGAACAUACUCUGGUUGACCUACGAGGUUCUGUAGUAACUUGAUUUGAAGUUUCAUGAUCAUCAUCAUUAACUUCCUCACUAAUUGGUGUAGGAAUCACUAGAACUGAUUUCUGUGAUGAACUACUUUCCAAUUCGGGAGAAGGUACAAUUUCCUCCCACUCACUUCUUUCGAGAGAAACUCCUUCUCUAAAAAGGAUCCAUUCUUAGCAACGAAUAUCUUGCCUUCGGAUCUGUGACAGAAGGUGUACCCAAUAGUAUCCUUUGGGUAUCCUAUGAAGACGCAUUUCUCCGAUUUGGGUUCGAGCUUAUCAGAUUGAAGCUUUUUCACAUAAGCAUCGCAGUCCCAAACUUUAAGAAACGACAGCUUAGGUUUAUUGCCAAACCAUAGUUCAUACGGUGUCAUCUCGACGGAUUUAGAUGGUGCCCUACUUAACGUGAAUGCAGCUAUCUCUAAUGCAUAACCCCAAAAUGAUAGUGGUAAAUCGGUAAGAGACAUCAUAGAUAGCACCAUAUCUAAUAAAGUGUGGUCACGACAUUCGGACACACCAUUACGCUGUGGUGUUCCAGGUGGCACGAGUUGUGAAACUAUUCCACAUUGUUUUAAAUGAAGGCCAAACUCGUAACUCAAAUAUUCGCCUCCGCGAUCAGAUCAUAGAAACUUUAUUUUCUUGUUACGAUGAUUCUCAACUUCACUCUGAAAUUCUUUGAACUUUUCAAAUGUUUCAAAGUUGUGUUUCAUUAAGUAGAUAUACCCAUAUCUGCUUAAAUCAUCUGUGAAGGUCAGAAAAUAACGAUACCCGCCGCAAGCCUCAAUACUCAUUGGUCCGCAUACAUCAGCAUGUAAUAUUUCCAAUAAGUCAAUUGCUCGCUCCAUUGUUCCGGAGAACGGAGUUUUAGUCAUCUUGCCCAUGAGGCAUGGUUCACAAGCAUCAAGUGAUUCCAAAAGCCCAUCAGCAUGAAGUUUCUUCAUGCGCUUUACACCAAUAUGACCAAAACGGUAGUGCCACAAAUAAUUUGCACUAUCAUUAUUAACUUUGCAUCUUUUGGCUUCAAUAUUAUGAAUAUCUGUAUCACUACGAUCGAGAUUCAAUAAACCAUUCACCUUGGGUGUAUGACCACAGAAGGUUUUAUUCAUGUAAACAGAAUAACAAUUAUUCUUUAAAUGAAUAACCGUAUUGCAGUAAACAUGAUCCAAUCAUAUUAUGAUCAACGCAAACACCAAAUAACAUUUAUUUUAGGUUCAACACUAAUCCCGAAGGUAAAGGGAGUGUGCGAUGGUGAUCUUAUCAACCUUGGAAUCACUUCCAACACACAUCGUGAUGUAGGGUGGAACCCUAGAUGGCUGAUCUUUCACGAAAGGAGCGGAUCCCAAUGAGGAACACAAAGAACACGAGGGGAAACACGAGGGAAAACACGAGAGAAUCACUCAAACCAACAAGAUUCGGCCACACAUAUGCUAGAUCCUCGAAACACAAAGAGAUACACGAUCCACGAUCAACAAGGGACGAUACAUAGGGUAACCGGUUCUUUUCUGUGAGGAGGUUUUGAUGGGGCCACCCGAAAGGGGGUCUUGAAUCCAACGUGGAUCUUCUCCGAAGAGGGGCCGCGGUCUCUCUCGAGGAGUAGACCCGUAUGGAUGAGCGAGGCUCUAUCUCACAAAUGAGCUAUCACAACGCUGACCCUAGAAAGAGGGAGGUGGAGGAGUAUAUAUAGUCUAGGUGGGCGAAGGGGUACAUGGGCGUCGGGCCCUUACACUGUGCGCAGACAGAGGAGGCCGGAUGUCCGGGCAUCGGGCCGGAUGUCCGGGCCUUCGCGAGGUGCCGGAUGUCCGGGCUAGCACCGGAUGUCCGGGCGGUCGGAGCUGGCCUUGACGCUCUCUAGAUAGACGGGGUCCGGAUGUCCGGGCGAUGGGCCGGAUGUCCGGAGGCUCGUGACGGGCCAGAUGUCCGGGCUGAGGAUCCGGAUGUCCGGGCUGGCGGGGUCGGCCUCGGUGCUCUCUGGAUAGAGGGUGCCGGAUUUCCGGGCUUCAGGCCGGAUGUCCGGGGCCUGUAGGUGCUUGGCGGCUGGGCGGCUGCUGUGGACGAUGUUCCAGGCCGGAUGUCAGGGGUCGUGGCCAGAUGUCCGGGGCCUGGAAGCUGUUCUUGACUCCUUCCGUUGGUUCUCUUCGUCCAUGAACUUGUGGACUUGUCCGUCUUCACGUGCAUCUUCGGGAGGGUCCUCUUGAUACCUAAUCAUGCACAGCAUCUCGGACUUAGGUACUAGCAAUGUCUCGAGUGGAUCAUAUGUGAUAUCACUAAGGAAGGAAGUCACCUCGGUCUCGAGAGCUCUAACUUGUGCUCGUGUCAUAGGUCAUGUUGGCACUCGGUGAGACGAUGGUAGGUCCAUGGGGAUGACCAUAGAAUGCUCCGCAUCAUCUCCCCUCCCUUGGGAAAGAUCCGACCUCAGAUCGAAAUCUUCAUCACCAUGGUAGGGAUAUAGAUCGUUGAUGUUGAAGAUGUCGCUCAUGAAGUACUUGUCGCGUGGGAUGUCGAUCUUGUAGGCGUUAUUGUUGUAGCGUGCAAGCACCUUGAAGGGUUCAUCGGCUCGAGGUAGAAGUUUGGACUUGCAUUCAUUGGGGAAGCGGUCCUUGCAGAGUUGUAGCCACACAAGAUCUCCAAUGUUGAAUAUCAUGGGUUGCUUGUUGACGUUGAGCUUGGUCGCGAGUCGUUGUACUUGGCGCUCGAUGGUGUGCCUUGUAUCUUCAUGCAUCUUCUUGAGGUAGUUGACUCGGGCACUCGCGUCCAUGUUGGUGCGGUCUUGUAGCGGUAGAGGAAGAAUGUCCAAUGGGGACAACGGGUUGAAACCGUAGACGACCUCGAAGGGGGGACUUGCCGGUAGUCGAAUGUCUUGCAUGGUUGUAGGCGUACUCGGCGAUUGGUAGGCACUCUUCCCACUCCUUUAUGUUCUUCUUUAUCAACACACAUAGUAGAGUGGAGAGUGUGCGGUUCGUCACCUCCGUUUGGCCGUCGGUUUGAGGAUGGUAUGCCGAAGAGAACAAGAGCUUGAUUCCGAGCUUGGCGCAUAAUGUCUUCCAAAAGAAACUCAAGAACUUGACGUCGCGGUCCGAGACAAUCGUCUUUGGCACUCCAUGUAAUCGUAAGAUUUCCCUACAAAAAAUAUUUGCAACAUGUGAAGCAUCGUCUAUCUUGUUGCAUGGUAUGAAAUGUGCCAUUUUGGAGAAUCGGUCCACAACAACAAAGACGGAAUCCUUUCCAUUUCUAGUUCUAGGCAAACCAAUCACAAAAUCCAUGCUAAUAUCUUCCCAUGGUUGGUAUGGAAUUGGGAGAGGCAUGUAAAGGCCAUGAGAUUGAGCUUUGGACUUAGCUUUGCGACAUGUCAAACAUCGGUUGGUGAAGCGUGAGACGUCACGGAACAUCUUGCGACAUGCCAAGUUUUAAUAGCAUUGAUCUUAGAUUCAUCAACAUGAACACCCUUAGAAGAUACUACAAAACCCAAGAAAACAAGCUUAUCAACGCCAAAAAGACAUUUGUCCAUGUUAGCAUAGAAACACUCUUUUCGAAGAGUUUGUAACACGGUUCGAAGGUGGGUGACAUGAUCUUUGAGAGAUUUUCUAAAAACAAGGAUAUCGUUGAAGUAGACCACAACAAACUCACCAAUGUAAGGGCGAAACACAUAAUGCAUAAGACGCAUGAAAGUACCUGGUGCUUCCGAUAAACCCAUAGGCAUAACUAACCACUCAUACAAACCAAACUUUGUUUUGAAACCGGUUUUCCAUUCAUCACCCUCUUGUAUGCGUAUUUGAUAGUAACCACUUUUGAGAUCAAUUCUGGAGAAAAUAGUGGCACUGCUAAGUUCAUCUAGCAUAUAAUCAAGGCGUGGAAUGGGGUGCCUAUAGCGAACGGUGAUAGCAUUGAUAGGUCUACAAUCGAAACACAUGCGAAAGCUACCGUCUCUUUUUGGCACAAGAAUGACCGGUACGGCACAAGGACUCAAACUUUCACGCACAUGUCCAUGGUCUAUGAGAUGUUUUACUUGCCUUUGUAUUUCUUUGGUUUCUUUGGGGUUGACGCGAUAUGGAGCCUUGUUCGGAAGUGGUGCUCCAGGGAUGAGGUCGAUGCGGUGCUCGAUGCCUCGUAGUGGAGGUAGACCUGGAGGUAGCUCGUCGGUGAAAACAUCUUGGAAUUCCUGCAAUAGAGAAGAUAACACCAAAGGUAGAUUGUGAGAGGUGUUAGUUUUUGGUGCCUCGUCCUUGCACAAAAGGACAUAGUGCAUGACACUUGAUGGGUUCUCACACACUUCUCUCAUCUCACGUUUGGUGGCCAAUAUGACUAAGUUCUUUUUGUCGCUCAUCGUGGAGACACUCAAUUUUGGCUUGUGGCGCUCACUCUCUUUUUGGUGGUUUGCUCUCUCACUAUUCUCUCCAUGAUGGGUGGCUUGCUUGUCGGUGAUCACUUGGCUUGGAGACAUAGGUCGUAGCACAUACUCCUUUCCUUUCAUCUUGAAGCUAUAGUGAUUUGUAUGCCCGUUAUGGAUGACGCCUCGGUCAAAUUGCCAUGGCCGCCCAAGAAGGAGGUGGCAAAUGGUCAUCGGUACGACAUCACACUCCAAAGUGUCUUCGUAAGCUCCGAUCUUGAAGGAGACUUGUACCCUAUGCUCGACUUGGAGAGUGCUGUUGUCGGUUAGCCAUUGAACUUUCUAGGGGUGCGGUGCUUCAUCUUGACCAAUUGGAGCUUGGAGCAAAGUUCUUCGCUUGCCAAGUUAUGACAACUCCCUCCAUCGAUGAUGACCUUGACGGACCUUCCAUUGAUGCUGGCCUUGGUGUGGAAGAUAUGGCAUCGUUGGUCUUCUUCUUGUUGAUGUUGAAGAGUCAAGACCUUGGAGACUACGAGAGCGGGGCUCGAAUCUUCGUCACAAAAGACUUGAUCAUCUUCAUCGUCAUUCACUUGCCGGUGCAUGGCCACUUGCUCAAGGGCUUCCAUUUCUCCUUCACUCAUGGAGUCAUAUGUUCCGUCGUUGUUGAGGAUCAUGGUGCGCUUGUUUGUACACUCAAAGGACUUGUGGCCUCGGCCGCUGCAUGUGAAGCAUUUGAAGGAACUUUUCUUGAUGUUUCAUCGGUUGGGGUAGAUGAUGAAGAAGCUCUCGGCUUGAAGUUGCUUGUAGUAGGAGGACGACUUGAGGUUGUCGAAGUUUUCUUGUAACUUGACUUGUCGCCGUUGCUUGUAGAUGGCUUGGUUGAGGUAGAAGGUGUUGGAGUCGUUGAAGCUUAAUUGUUGGAGAAGCCAUAGGACUUGGAUGAGAACUUGGCGUACUUGAAGUCAUCUUGCACGUUCCUCUUUGGUAGCUUGAUGCACUAGCUCGAUGAGGUUCGAGUAUGAUUGGAAGUCGGCGAUCUUCUUGAUAGGAUGAUUGAGUCCAUUCAAGAAACGUGCAAUAGUUUGCUCAUCAUCUUCCGUGACAUUGGCUUAUAUCAUUGCAAUCUCCAUUUCCUUGUAGUAUUCUUCAACGCUCUUGGUUCCUUGCUUUAGGAGUUGGAGUUUCUUGAAGAGGUCGCGGUUGUAGUAGGUUGGCACGAAACAUGCUCUCAUGACAUCCUUCAUUUGCGCCCAAGUUGUGAUGGGUGGUUCACCUUUUGCCGCUCGGCGCUCAAUGACUUGUUCCCACCAAAUAAGGACGUAGUCUUGGAACUCAAGGGAUGCCAUUGCGAUCUUCUUCUCUUCUUCAUAGUUGUGCAAGCGGAAGAUUUUGUCAACCUUCAAUGCGCAUGACAGGUACUCUUCGGGAUCAUUGCUUCCGGAAAACUUGGGCAUGGUGAACUUUAGCUUGCCGUAGCGUUGCUCUUCAUUGUGUUGGGGUCGGGGGUGAUGACGUCCUUGAUGAGGAGGAUUGUCUCCCUCAACUUGCUCUUGUCUUGGAGGAUCUCCAUUGUCUUCGUGCUCUUGGUGAACUUAAAGUUCUUGUCUAGCUUGUGGAGGAGCUUGUCGAGCUUGACAAUGUACACGAGUUUGAUAUAUUCGUUCUUGGACUUCAUCACGAAGCGCUUCUUGUUGCUCACGAGCUUGUCGGUUGCGCGUGGCUACGGCUUGACUUGAAUCUCGGAGGGCAUGUUGCACCUCAAGUGCUUGAGCUUCGCGUAGUUGUUGUUCUUCAUGUUGUGCCUCGACAUCUUGUGCAUCUUGGUGUUCACGCGCUCGGUCUUCCUCUUGUUGUUGGCGUAGACGUUGCUGUUUCUUGUGCUUGUGCAAAAGUAGCUUGGUUUUGACGGUGUCAAUGUUCUUGCGCGCGAUCUUGGUCUUGGGAGUCGUUGUCGUGUAGAGGAUUGCGGUUUGCUUGACGAUCUUGACACGCGGCACGACGAAGAGUGUUCGAUGUCGGAGUACUUGAGCCGGAGAUAGUGUCGUCGGAUUGUCGACUCGAGCGGCUCCGUCUUGAGUAGGACGAAGUGGUAGAAGAGUGGUUGACCAACAAGGCACGAAUUUCGUCCAUUCUUGCAUCAUUCUCUUGUUUGUGUUCGUCAAGCUUGUUGUCGAAGUAGUCUCUAGUACGUUGCACGGAUAGUCGCAAGUCGGUGGCGAGAUUGUCGAUGCGGUUGCUCAUUGCUUGUUGCUCUUGAUGCAAAGCUCGUUGCGUUCCAAAUAGGUGUAGCUUGGUGACGUAGUUGUUCGGGUCGUCGUCUUGCUCAAGGAAGAGUGGGUUGGUAGAAGUACUUGGCCUAUCCAUCAUUCCAAACAAAUAUGUGAGUGGGAGAAAGAGAAGAACUUGUACCAAAUGUACCUUGACCGAUGUUGAAGAUGGAUCAAUGAUCACUCAAAUGUGGAACAAGGAAAUAACACAAUUGGUACCAAUUCUUGUCGGUUUCUCACACCUACACAAGUAAAAGCUUAUGGUGGAGCUUGGUUAGGAUGGUGGCACAAAAUUUGAUGCAACUGUUAGUGAGACUCAAUAAUGUUGGAAAAGAUUCACAAAUUUGCAAAUGCAACAAGUAGACCAAUAGCAAGAUAUGGUGCACAGAAACACACAUGCAAAUAGAUAAGUGGGGUCAUGCAACCAAGGAAUGAGCCAAAAUGUGGAAUCCACGAAAAUGCUCUUGUUGCACAACACUAGAGAGACGCUAGCACGAUUGCACAAUAGGCGGAUACGAGACUUGUGCACAACCUACUAAGCAAAAAUGCAACGACUUCUAUCCCAAGUAUGUUAUAUGUAUGGUAUUCUGAUGAUAUGAUCCAAGAUGAUCGAGUAUGACAAUCUUAAUGUAGUAUGAUGCUAUGGUUCUUGCUUAUAAGCUCUUUGUGAACGUUAUGAACCAAGAUAGCAAUUGUGUAUAUGUGAUGACAACCUUGUGACACAAGAGAUGAUACAGGAUAUGCACCACGAUGGUAUGGUAUGUAUGCUAUGGGAAGUAUGAUCACUAAUGUGCACAAGUCACGUUGCUGGCAAUACUCAAAGGCUAGUCUCGAUGGGUAAGUGACGCAAAAGUAAGGCUAUAGGUUUAUCAAUGCAAUUGCAAGAAUGUACAAUGAUAUCACGAUACCAAGAUGAGGUUACCGUUGUUAUGUUCGGUAUGGUGUCAAAAUGGUGGAGUGGUCGUUGUCGAAGACGAAUCCGUGGCGAAGAUGAGCGGUGCUGAUGUUGAUGUUGAGCCGUACCUAAAUAGCCGAAACACAAUAGGACACGGGAACCGCAACUCAAAUUCUCAAAGCAAAACGUGUCAAAAUUGUCGAAAUUGGUAGUGGGUAAGCGGUGGUAGUGUUUGUGGAAAGCGAUGGUGCUAUGCGGAAGUGAUGGUGGUAUGCGGAAGUGUAAGUGGGCACCGGAUCGAAAUUUGGCGAAAGUUAGGCGGAAAACGAAGCGUUGGGUGGAAGUGAUGCUGUCAGGGGUCGGAUGUCCGGGCUUGUGGGCCAGAUGUCCGGGAUGGCCGGAUGGCCGGGCUGUCGGGCCAGAUGUCCGGGCUCUGGAUCCGUGGACGAACUCGAUGAACUCCGCGUGGAAGAGACAAAUUUGGGGCAAAAUUCAGGAGAUUUUGUGGAUGGAAAUUGGGGAAAAGAUGGUGGAAAGCUAGAUCUACCUGCAACACACGAAAUCCACGGAUCAAAUCCAACAAAACUUCAUCACACCAACAAAUCACAAAAAAAAUUGGGGGGCUAUUUUUGUGGGGAACUUUCGAAUUAGGGACAAAAUCAACAAAACUAGGCUAGAAAACAAAGAGGGGAGGCUCCGAAAUCGUGAUCAACGUGGCUCAUGAUACCAAGAUGAUGUAGGGUGGAACCCUAGAUGGCCGAUCUUUCACGCAAGGAGCGGAUCCCAAUGAGGAACACGAAGAACACGAGGGAAAACACAAGAGAAUCACUCAAACCAACAAGAUUCGGUCACACAUAUGCUAGAUCCUCGAAACACAAAGAGAUACACGAUCCACGAUAAACAAGGGACGAUACAUAGGCUAACCGGUUCUUCUCCGUGAGGAGGUCUUGAUGGGGCCACCCGAAAGGGGGUCUUGAAUCCAACGUGGAUCUUCUCCGAAGAGGGGCCACGGUCUCUCUCAAGGAGUAGAUCCGUAUGGAUGAGCGAGGCUCUAUCUCACAAAUGAGCUAUCACAACACUGACCCUGGAAAGAGGGAGGUGGAGGAGUAUAUAUAGUCUAGGUGGGCGAAGGGCCCUUACACUGUGCGCAGAUAGGGGAGGUCGGAUGUCCGGGCAUUGGGCCGGAUGUCCGGGUCUUCGCGAGGUGCCGGAUGUCCAGGCGGGCGCCGGAUGUCCGGGCGGUCGGGGCUGGCCUUAACGCUCUCUGGAUAGACGGGGUCUGGAUGUCCGGGCGAUGGGUCGGAUGUCCGGAGGCUAGUGAUGGGCCGGAUGUCCGGGUUGGGAAUCCGGAUGUCCGGGCUGGCGGGGUCGGCCUCGGUGCUCUCUAGAUAGAGGGUGUCGAAUUUCCGGGCUUCGGGCCGGAUGUCCGGGGCCUAUAGGUGCUUGGCGGUUGGGCAGCUGCUGUGGCCGAUGCUCCAAGGGCCGGAUGUCCGGGGUCGUGGCCGGAUGUCCGGGGCCUGGAAGCUGUUCUUGACUCCUUCCGUUGGUUCUCUUUGUCCAUGAACUUGUGGACUUGUCCGUCUUCAUGUGCAUCUUCGGGAGGGUCCUCUUGAUACCUAAUCAUGCACAACAUCUCGGACUUAGGUAGUAGCAAUGUCUCGAGUGGAUCAUAUGUGAUAUCACUAAGGAUGAAGUCACCUCGGUCUCGAGAGCUCUAGCUCGUGCUCAUGUCAUAUGUCCUGUUGGCACUCGGUGAGACGAUGGUAGGUCCAUGGGGAUGACCAUAGUGCUCCGCAUCACAUCAUCACCUCGCCCUCAACUAGUCUCUGUUCAUUUUGUAACUCCUAUUUCAAGUUACUAAUCAUAGCAACUGAACCAGUAUCAAAUACCCAGGGGCUACUAUGAACACUACUAAAGUACACAUCAAUAACAUGUAUAUCAUAUAUACUUUUGUUCACUUUGCCAUCCUUCUUAUCCGCCAAGUAUUUGGGGUAGUUCCGCUUCCAUUGACCAUUUCCUUUACAGUAGAAGCACUCAGUUUCAGGCUUGGGUCUAGCUUUGGGCUUCUUUAUGUGAGUGGCAACUUGCUUGCCAUUCUUCUUGAAGUUCCCUUUCUUCCCUUGCCCUUUUACUUGAAACUAGUGGUCUUGUAAACCAUCAACACUUGAUGCUUUUCUUGAUUUCUACCUUUGUCAAUUUCAGCAUCGCGAAGAGCUCGGGGAAUCGUUUUCGUCAUCCGUUGCUAUAGUUCAUCACGAAGUUCCAGUAACUUGGUGAUAGUGACUAUAUAAUUAUGUCAAUCACGAUUUUAUCUGGAAGAUUAACUCCCACUUGAUUCAAGCGAUUGUAGUACUCAGAUAUUCUGAUAAAAUGCUCACUGGUUGAGCUAUUCUCCUCCAUCUUGUAGGCAAAAUACUUGUCAGAGGUUUGAUACCUCUCGACUCGGGCAUGAGUCUGAAAUACCAAUUUCAGCUCCUGGAACAUCUUAUAUGCUCCUUGUCAUUCAAAACGUUUUUGAAGUCCCGGUUCUAAGCCGUAAAGCAUAGUGCACUAAACUAUCAAGUAGUCAUCAUACCGAGCUUGCCAAACGUUCAUAACGUCUGCAUUUGCUCCUCCAAUAGGUCUGUCACCUAGCGGUGCAUCAAGGACAUAAUUCUUCUGUGCAGCAAUGAGGAUAAUCCUCAGAUCACGGACCCAGUCCGCAUCAUUGCUACUAUCAUAUUUCAACUUAUUUUUCUCUAGGAACAUAUCAAAAAUAAAAAAGGGGAGCUAUACGCGAGCUAUUGAUCUACAACAUAGAUAUGCGAAAACUAUCAGGACUAAGUUCAUGAUAAAUUAAAGUUCAAUUAAUCAUAUUACUUAAGAACUCCCACUUAGAUAGACAUCCCUCUAGUCAUCUAAAUGAUCACGUGAUCCAUAUCAACUAAACCAUGUCCGAUCAUCACGUGAGAUGGAGUAGUUUUCAAUGGUGAACAUCUCUAUAUAUCUACUAUAUGAUUCACGUUCGACCUUUCGGUCUCAAUGUUCCGAGGCCAUAUCUGUAUAUGUUAGGCUCGUCAAGUUUAACCCAAGUAUUCUGCAUGUGCAAAACUGGCUUGCACCCGUUGUAUGUGAACGUAGAGCUUAUCACACCCAAUCAUGACGUGGUGUCUCGGCACGACGAACUGUAGCAACGGUGCAUACUCAGGGAGAACACUUAUACCUUGAAAUUUAGUGAGGGGUCAUCUUAUAAUGCUACAGCCGAACUAAGCAGAAUAAGAUGCAUAAAGGAUAAACAUCACGUGCAAUCAAAAUAUGUGACAUGAUAUGGCCAUCAUCAUCUUGUGCCUCUGAUCUCCAUCUCCAAAGCACCGUCAUGAUCUCAAUCGUCACCGGCUUGACACCUUGAUCUGCAUCGUAGCAUCGUUGUCGUCUCGCCAACUAUUGCUUCUACGACUAUCGCCACCGCUUAGUGAUAAAGUAAAGCAAUUACAUGGCGAUUGCAUUUCAUACAAUAAAGCGACAACCAUAAGAGUCCUGCCAGUUGCUGAUAACUUUUACAAAACAUGAUCAUCUCAUACAAUAAUUUAUAUAUCAUCACGUCUUGACCAUAUCACAUCAGAACAAGCCCUGCAAAAACAAGUUAGACGUCCACUACUUUGUUGUUGCAAGUUUUACGUGGCUGCUACGGGCUUCUAGCAAGAACCGUUCUUACCUAUGCAUCAAAACCACAAUGAUUUUUCGUCAAGUGUUCUGUUUUAACCUUCAACAAGGACCGAGCGUAGUCAAACUCGAUUCAACUAAAGUUGGAGAAACUGACACCCGCUAGCCACCUGUGUGCGAAGCACGUCGGUAGAACCAGUCUCAUGAAGGUGGUCAUGUAAUGUUGGUCCGGGCCGCUUCAUCCAACAAUACUACCGAAUCAAAGUAAGACGUUGCUGGUAAGCCGUAUGACUAUUAUCGCCGACAACUCAUUGUGUUCUACUCGUGCAUAUAACAUCUACGCAAAGACCUGGCUCGGAUGCCACUGUUGGGGAACACAGUAUUUCAAAAAAAUUAUUUACGAUCACGCAAGAUCUAUCUAGGAGAUGCAUAGCAACGAGAGGGGAGAGUGUGUCCACGUACCCUCGUAGACUGAAAGCGAAAGCGUUUAGUAACGCGGUUGAUGUAGUCGAACGUCUUCGCGAUCCAACCGAUCCAAGCACCGAACGUACGACACCUCCGCAUUCAGCACACGUUCAGCUCGAUGACGUUCCUCAAACUCUUGAUCCAGUUGAGGACGAGGGAGAGUUCCGUCAGCACGACGGCGUGGCGACGGUGAUGAUGAAGUUACCGGCGCAGGGCUUCGCCUAAGCACUACGAUGAUAUGAUCGAGGUGUGUAACUGUGGAGGGGGCACCACACACGGCUAAGAGAAGACUUCGUGUGUUCUAUCGGUGCCCCCCCCACAUAUAUAUAGGUGGGAGGGGUAGGGAGCAACAGGAGGCGCGCCCCAAGUAGGAGGAAUCCUACUUGGGGCCUAAUCCUAUUCGGCCUCCCCCCUUUCCAUGUUUUCCAGAGGGAGAAGGAAAGAGGAGGGGGAGAGAAGGAAAGGGGAGGAUGAAUUGCCCCUUCCUUUCUCUCCUCUCCCUUUCCUUUCCUCCUAUUCGGCCAUGUAUGGGGCGCACCAGCCCACUAGGGGCUGGUCUAUCCCGCCCUAGGCCCAAUAAGGCCCAUAUCUUGGCCGGGGGUGCCCGGAACCCCUUUCCGGUGACCCGAUACGUACCCGGAACACUUCCGGUGUCCAAAUACUAUCGUUCUAUAUAUGAAUCUUUACCUCUCGACCAUUUCGAGACUCCUCAUCAUGUAUGUGAUCUCAUCCGAAACUCCGAACAACAUUCGGUCGUCAAAUCACAUAACUCAUACAAUAUAAAAUCGUCAUCGAACGUUAAGCGUGCGGACCCUAUGGGUUCGAGAACUAUGUAGACAUGACCGAGACACCUCUCCGGUCAAUAACCAAUAGCGGAACCUGGAUGCUCAUAUUGGCUCCCACAUAUUCUACUAAGAUCUUUAUCGGUCAAACCGCAUAACAACAUACGUCAUUCCCUUUGUCAUCGGUAUGUUACUUGCCCGAGAUUCGAUCGUCGGUAUCAUCAUACCUAGUUCAAUCUCAUUACCGGCAAGUCUAUUUACUCGUUCCGUAAUGCAUCAUCCCGCAACUAAAUCAUUAGUCACACUGCUUCCAAGGCUUAUAGUGAUGUGUAUUACCGAGAGGGCCCAGAGAUACCUCUCCGAUACACUGAGUGAAAAAUCCUAAUCUCGAUCUAUGCCAACCCAACAAACACCUUCGGAGACACCUAUAGAGCAUCUUUAUAAUCACCCAGUUACAUUGUGACAUUUGAUAGCACACAAGGUGUUCCUCCGAUAUUCGGGAGUUGCAUAAUCUCAUAGUCAGAGGAACUUGUAUAAGUCAUGAAGAAAGCAAUAGCAAUAAAACUCAACGAUCAUUAUGCUAAGCUAACGGAUGGGUCUUGUCCAUCACAUCAUUCUCUAACGAUGUGACCCCGUUCAUCAAAUGACAACACAUGUCUAUGGUUAGGAAACUUAACCAUCUUUGAUUAACGAGCUAGUCAAGUAAAGGCAUACUAGGGAUACUCUGUUUUGUCUAUGUAUUCACACAUGUACUAAGUUUCCGGUUAAUAUAAUUCUAGCAUGAAUAAUAAACAUUUAUCAUGAUAUAAGGAAAUAUAAAUAACAACUUUAUUAUUGCCUCUAGGGCAUGUUUCCUUCAGAUGAUAGGCCGUGGAGAAUAGUAGCUUGAUGUCAAGCUUGGCGCAAAGCGUCUUCCAAAAGUAGCUUAGGAACUUGAUGUCUCGGUCUGACACAAUUGUCUUUGGCACUCCAUGUAACCGCAAGAUUUCCCUACAAAAAAGAUUUGCAACAUGUGAAGCAUCGUCUAUCUUAUUGCAUGGGAUGAAAUGUGCCAUUUUAAAGAAUCGGUCCACAACAACAAAUACGGAAUCCUUGCCAUUUUGAGUCAUAGGUAAUCCAAGCACAAAAUCCAUGCUAAUAUCUUCCCAUGGUUGAUAUGGAAUAGGAAGUGGCAUAUGUCAACCAUGAGACUGAGCUUGUAAAUUAGCUUUGCGGCAUGUAGAGCAUCGGUUGGUGAAGCGUGAGACAUCGCGAAACAUGUUGGGCCAAAAGUAGUUCUUGGAGAGCAUGGAAAAAGCCUUGUCGCGUCCAAAAUGUCCCAUAAGUCCUCCUCCAUGAGCCUCUUGCAAAAGUAACAAACGAAGAGAAGACUCGGGGAUGCAUAGUUUGUUAGCUCUCAUUAGAUAACCAUUUGUGAUAUGAUAGUGCUCCCAAAAUGUAUGCGUCAAACACUUGGCAAAAGGAAUAGCAAAAGUAGCAUCAUUCUCAUAUAAGUCAUUGAUAUGCUCGAAUCCAACAACAUUCAAUUCAAGUUGAGUAACUAACAUGCUCUUGCGGGAAAGAGCAUCCACCACUACAUUUUCUUUGCCCUUAAUGUAUUUGAUCAUGUAAGGGAAAGAUUCAAUAAAUUCACUCCAUUUAGCAUGUCGUUUAUUCAACUUAGUUUGACCUUUAAGGUAUUUAAGUGUCUCAUGAAUCAUGAUCGGUAUGUAUGAAAAAUUCAUGUGGGUGAAGAUAAUGCCCCCAAACAUGCAAUACUCGCACUAAAGCAUACAAUUCUUUGACAUAGAUAGGAUAGUUAAGUUGAGCGCCGGAUUUUUUUUCGCUAAAGUAUGCAAUGGGUCGCUUUUCUUGCAUCAAAACUCCGCCAAUUCCAUUACCACUAGCAUCGAAUGAACCUCAAAAGUUUUGUCGAAAUUAGGCAAAGCAAGGAUCGGAGCAUGUGUAAGCAAAGAUUUGAGCUCAUCAAAUGCGGUAGAUUGUGAGGGUCCCCAAACAAAGGGUGCAUUUUUCUUACUCAAGGCAUGCAACGGUGCGGCAAUAGUGCUAAAGUCUUUCACAAAGCGACGAUAAAAACCCAAACAAGGAAACUACACACUUGUUGCAAAUUAGUGGGUUGUGGCCAAGUUUUAAUUGCUUCAAUUUUAGACUCAUCAACAUGAACACCCUUGGAAGAAACAACAAAACCUAAGAAAACAAGCUUGUCAACACCAAAAGUGCAAUUUUCCAUAUUGGCAUAAAGACAUUCUUUUCGAAGAGUUUGCAAAACGGCUCUAAGAUGAUUUACAUGAUCUUUGAGGGAUUUGCUAAACACAAGUAUGUCGUCAAAGUAGACCACAACAAACACUCCAAUGUAUGGGCGAAGCACAAAAUGCAUAACACGCAUGAAAGUACCGGGAGCUUCUGAUAAACCCAUAGGCAUAACUAACCACUCGUACAAGCCAAAUUUAGUUUUAAAAGCGGUGUUCCAUUCAUCACCUUCUUGAAUGUGGAUUUGGUAAUAGCCACUUUUAAGAUCAAUUUUCGAGAAAGUGGUGGCACCGCUAAGCUCAUCUAGCAUAUCGUCAAGGUGUGGAAUGGGAUGCUUAUAGCGAACGGUGAUAGCAUUGAUGGGUCUAUAAUCGGAACACAUGCAAAAACUCCCGUCUUUCUUAGGCACAAGAAUAAACGGAAUGGCACAAGGGCUUAAGCUUUCACGUACAUGGCCUUUGUCGAUGAGUUGUUGUACUUGCCAUUGGAUCUCCUUAGUUUCUUCAGGGUUGACGCGGUAUGGAGCCUUGUUCGUAAGAGGUGCACCGGGGAUGAGGUCGAUCCAGUGUUCGAUGCCACGUAGAGGAGGAAGACCCAGAGGUAGCUCAUCAGGGAAGACAUCCGUGAAUUCCUGCAACAAGUUAGAUAACACUAGAGGAAGAGGGUUAGAAGGGUUAGUCCUUGCCACCUCAUCUUUGCACACUAGGACGUAGUGUAUGCCACUCGAUGGGUUCACACACACUUCUCUCAUCUCUCUUUUAGUGGCUAGGAGGACUAAGUUUUUCUCUCUCGGUGAAGAGUCACUCAUUUUGGGCUUGUGGCGCUCACUCUCUUUGUGGUGGUUCACUCUCUCACUAGUCAUGCUUGCUUAUCGGCGAUCACUUGACUUGGUGACAUAGGUCGUAGCAUGAACUCCUUUCCCUUCAUCUUGAAGCUAUAGUGAUUUGUUCUUCCGUUGUGGAUGACGCCACGGUUGAAUUGCCAAGGUCUUCCCAAGAGAAGAUGGCACACGGACAUGGGAACCACAUCACACUCCAAGGUGUUCUCGUAGGCGCCGAUCUUGAACGAAACUUGCAGGGUGUGCUCCACUUGAAUGGUGCCGAAGUCGCUGAGCCAUUGGACCUUGUAGGGACGAUGAUGCUUCUUCUUGACCAAUUGUAGCUUGGAACAUAGCUCUCCACUUGCCAAAUUGUGGCAACUUCCUCCGUCGAUGAUGACCUUCACGGAACGACCAUUGAUGUCGGCCUUGGUGUGGAAGAUGUGGCAACGUCGGUCUUCGUCUUGGUGGUGUUGAAGCGUCAAGACCUUGGAGAACACGAGAGCGGGACUUGAAUCAUUGCCGCAAAAGACUUGAUCAUCAUCUUCUUCAUUCACUUGACGGUGCAUGCCGACGUGCUCGAGGGCGUCCAUCUCGUCUUCGCUCAUGGAGUCGUAAGUGCCAUCAUCAUUGAGAAUAAUGGUUCGCCGGUUGGUGCAUUGGAAAGACUUGUGUCCUCGGCCGCCACAUGUGAAACACUUGAUAGAACUUUUCUUGACGGGGUCAUCCGGUGCCGCCGAUGACGAGGGAGUCUUGGACUUGUAGUUGCUUGCCGGAGAACGAGUCGAGGAAGGUGUCGCUUGCUUGGAACUUGACUUGUAGCUGGUGCUUGUUGGUGCUCUAGUCGAGGUAGGAGGUGUCGUAGUUGAGGAAGCUUGAGUGUAUGAGCAGUAGGUCUUCGAAGAGUACUUGGCGUAUUUGAAGUCUUCUUGCACUUGUCGCUCCGCCUUGAUCGCUUGAUGAACUAGCUCUAGAAGGUUGGAGUAGGGUUGGAAAUCGACAAUCUUCCUUAUUUGGUGAUUGAGUCUGUUCAAGAAGCGUGCCAUAGUUUGCUCGCCGUCUUCCUUGACAUUGGCUCGUAUCAUGGCAAUCUCCAUUUCUUGAUAGUAUUCUUCCACCGUCUUCAUGCCUUGCUUGAGGAGUUGUAACUUCUUGAAGAGAUCUCGGGUGUAGUGUGUAGGCACGAAGCGAGCUCUCAUGACAUCCUUCAUUUGUGUCCAAGUUGUGAUGGGUGGUUUGCCUCGCUCUUAGCAUCGCUCAAUCACUUGUUCCCACCAAAUGAGGACGUAGUCUUGAAACUCUAGGGAGGCCAUGGUGAUCUUCUUUUCUUUGUCGUAGUUGUGAAGAUGGAAUAUCUUGUCGACUUUCAAUGCCCAUGAGAGAUAUGCUUUAGGAUCAUUGCUUCCGGAGAACUUGGGCAUGGUGAACUUGAGCUUGCCAUAGCGGAGUUCUUCAUCAUAGUGGCGGUUUUGAUGUCGCUCUUGGUGUGGUGGAGGGUCUUCAAGCACUCAUUCCGCUUGAUGUCGCUCUUGGCAUGGAGGAUCUUGAAGCACUCGUUCUGCUUGGUGUCGCUCUUGGCGUGGAGGAGGGCGAAGCAUAUGUGCUUGGCUUCGUCUUUCUUGUUGCUCUUCACGUCGGGCGGCUUCUUCUUGUCGUGCUUGGCAAAGUUCUUCCUCUUGCUCACGUACAAGGCGGCUACGAGCGGCAAUGGCUCUAGUGGACUCACGGAGUGCGUCUUGAGCCGCUUGAGCUUGUGCUUCAUGACUUUGUUGCUCUUGUCGAAUUGCAUCAUCGUCAUGAGAUGGUUGAUGUGGACGAUGUGGUGGGGUUGCUCUUGAUCCUCGGUGUCUUGUGCUUGGCGUCUCGUCCUUUCACGUGCUCGAACUCGAACUUGUAAUCCAUUGACAUGGAAAGGAUUGUAUUGAGCUUGGCAAUCCUUAGUGUCGUCGUGGCGAUGAGAACGAGGUCAAGGAGGACUCGCAUCGGAAGAAGAGUAUGACGACGAAUGGCGACUUGAGUGGCGUCGUCUUGGUGACGAGGUUGAGGAAGACACACAACUCACGAUCAUGUUGCGGAAUUCGUCCAUUUAUUUGGAGAGCUUGGCGUUGAGGUAGUCCUGGUUCCGUGCUUCCGAUUGAUGUAGGUCAGUGGCGAGUUGCUCGAUGUGAUCACCCAAAGCUUUACUUUCUUGAUGGAGAGCUUGUUGGGCAGCGAAAAAGUGAGUUUUGUUGACGUGGUUGCGUUCAUCAUCUUGACCCUCGAAGAGUGGGUUCGCUGAAGAAGUUGGCCCAUCCAUCAUAACCAAGAGGGGGUGAGUAGGAAAAUGAGAGAACAAUACCAAAGGUACCUUUUCCGAAGAUUGUGGAUGUAUCGAGUAUCGCUCAAUGUAAUGCUACAAUAGUAGAAUUGGUGCCAGGUUUGUUUCUCACACCUACACAAGUAAAGCUUAUGGAGGAGCUUGGUUAGGAUGAGUGGCACAAAAUUUCAAGCAAAUGUUAGUCAAGCUAUCGAUAAGGUUGAGAAGGUUCACACAAUUGCAAGUAAAGCAAAUAGAUCGAGCCCAAGAAUAUCACUAGAAACACACACACGGAAGAUAGAUGGGAUCCGCACAACCACGGAGUGAGCUCAAAAUGUGUAAUCCGGAAAAUGCUCUUGUUGUACGGAUACACGAGAGACGCUAGCUCGAUUUCUCAAAUGGGCUUGAUACGCUCUAGUGCACCUACCUAUAAGAGUAACCGUGUCGUCUUCAAUCCCAAAUAUGCUAUGUAUGUGGUGUCCAAUAUGAUGCUACUAUGCAAAUGGCACAAUGCUAAUGCUUACAAGCUCUUUGUUUCUUCUCUUUUUCUUAAAAGCUUUUUCUCUCUUUUUUUCGCUAUGCUUGAUGCUCGAGCCAAGUAUGAUAUGAGACAAGUAUGUAAGAUAUGCACGGGGGAGACUUGUGGCACAAUGAUGAUAGCAAUAUGAUUUGCACGCUAAAUGUAGCUAUGCGGCGCAAGCGUAUCACUAAGGUGCACAAAGAGCGCGGCCCGGCAAUUCACAACUCGCUAGUCUCGAUAGGUAAGUGACACAAAAUGGCUCGGGUUAAUUAUCAAAGCAAUGGCAAGGAAAUGUACUAGGUGUCGUCGAGGUUACCGUCCUUGCUUACGGUUGGUAUGAGGAUGAAGUGCUCGUUGUCAAUGUCGAGGUCGAAGCAAUGAUGAAGAGCGGUAUCGUCGAUGUCAAACCGUUCCUAAGUAGCCGAAACACCUUAGGAAAUGGAAACCGCUACUCAAAAUCGGUCAAAUGCAGAAAGUGGGUGUGUUUAUGAUGAAAAAUUUGAUGGAGGAAAGUGGGUGCUUUUAACGAUCCAAGAGUAUGAGGGAUGUGAAGAGCUACAAAACAAGCCAAAGAACAUGAAAAACGGACUUCAGAGGUGAAAGUUAUGGCCGAAAUGGAGUUGUUGGUGGGCUGAUUCUGGGGGGGGGCGGGCACUCAGGGGUUCGGGGUGCGGGUGCCGGGGUGGUCAGGGAAAACUUGCCCGGGAGUGCGGCCACCCGGUGUUGGACGAUUUGGGCGGAAAUUUUUGAGAAGUGGCCAAAUUCGGUGGAUUUCGUGAUGGGAAGGGUGGGGAUGGUUGGGGAGGGGCUAGAUCCACUUGCCAAACAACAAAGCCAUGGACCAAAACAACAAAAUCUCACAAGAACCAACAAAUUGCAAGAAAAUUGUUUGGGGCUAUUUUUGUGGGGAUUUUCAAAUUGGGACCAAAAAGCAACGAAAUUAGGCUAGCAAAUGGUGUGUAAGGACUCCGAGAUGUGAAUCAACCUUGCUCAUGAUACCAAGAUGUUGUAGGGUGAAACCCUAGGUGAGAUCUUUUCACACUUGGAGGGGGGAAAGUGACGAACACACAAUAACACAAUGGGGAAAUCACUCAAACAAACCCAAAUCACACAUCCACUAGAGUAGCAUACAUGAGAUCCACAAGCAUACAAGAACAAUCCAAGGAAAAUAGCACUAGGGUAAAGUUCUUCCCACUCCAAAGGAAGUGAUGGUCUUCUCUAAGAGGAGGCCUUGAUAAUCCACUAGGAUUCUUCCCAAUAGGGGUCUUGAUCUCCAAGAGGAGGGGAAGAUGAACAAAGCUCUCUCAAUGUCUAUCCAAUACUUUGCUAACCCCAAAAACAAGCUAGAAGAGGAGUACAUAUAGGCUAGGGACGGAUUGGGGUAAAACAAGGGUACAUGAGUAAAUUAGCCCGAAAUGCGCAUAGGCACGGUGGAGGGUCCGGGAACCCGGGGUAAAGGGGUCCGGGCACCCGGGGGUCGUUGGGAGACGGAGGGCUGGGCACCCGGGGCGUCUAGGGGGUCGCGCCCUUGGCGGCUGUAGGGGGCCGGGCACCCAGGGGCUGAGGGUCCAGGCACCCAGGGUGGGAUGAGGGCCUCGCCCAGGCAGCAGCCGGGCACCCGGGGGCCAAAGAGGUCGAGCACCCGGGGCGGCAAGGGAGGCGCCCAACCGGUGGCUGGGGAGCCGAGCACCCGGGGCUGCAGGUGGCCGGGCACCCGGAGUGGUCUGGGACCUCCAUUGCUUCGUGCUUCUCGUGUCUUGCAUUCUCUUCCUUCUCCAUGGUCGUUUGCAUAUCUGCCCUAGCUUCUUCAUGAUCAUCUCCUUGGUACCUAAGAAUGCAUAACAUUUCCGUUUGAGGUAGGACCCAACUCUCAUGUGAAUUCGAAUGGAGUUCAAAGAGGAAAGAGUUAACCUCGGUUUCCAUGGCACGUGCGCGAGCUCUCAUCAUUGGUCCUCUUCAUGGUGCUUGAUGAGUUUUAGUGGAAUCCAUGGGGAUGAUGGAGGGAUGCUCCGCAUCAUCUCCUCACCCUUGGGAGAGAUUCGUCAGCGGAUCGUGAUCUUCAUCACCAUGGUAUUUGGCCAAGUCCUUGACAUUGAAGAUGUCGCUAACAUGUUACUUGUCGCGUGUGAUGUCUAUCUUGUAGGCCUUAUCAUUGUAGCGUGCUAGCACCUUGAAGGGUCCAUCGGCUCAUGGUAGUAGUUUGGACUUGCGUUCGUUGGGGAAGCGGUCCUUGCGAAGAUGGAGCCAUACGAGAUCUCCCGGUUUGAACACCAUUGGUGUCUUGUUGAUGUUGAGCUUGGUGGCGAGGCGGUGUACUUGACGCUCGAUCGUGGACCUUGUUUCUUCAUGCAUCUUCUUGAGGUAAGUGGCUCUUACGCUAGCGUCCAGGUUCGCUCGUUCUUGGAGCGGUAGAGGAAGGAUGUCCAAGGGUGACAAAGGGUUGAAGUCAUAGACAACCUCGAAGGGGGACUUGCCGGUAGUAGAGUGUCUUGCGUGGUUGCAGGCGUACUCGGCGAUGGGUAAGCACUCCUCCCACUACUUGAUGUUCUUCUUGAUCAACACGCGUAGGAGAGUGGAGAGUGUCCAGUUGGUGACUUCCGUUUGGCCAUCGGUUUGAGGAUGAUGUUGGGGAACACAGUAUUUCAACAAAUUUAUCUACGAUCACGCAAGAUCUAUCUAGGAGAUACAUAGCAAUGAGAGGGGAGAGUGCGUCCACGUACCCUCGUAGACCGAAAGCGGAAGCGUUUAGUGACGCGGUUGAUGUAGAUGAACAUCUUCGCGAUCCAACCAAUCCAAGCACCGAACGUACGGCACCUCCGCGUUCAGCACACGUUCAGCUCGAUGACGUCCCUCGAACUCUUGAUCCAGUUGAGGACGAGGGAGAGUUCCGUCAUCACGACGGCGUGGCGAUGAUGAUGAUGAAGUUACCGGCGCAGGGCUUCGCCUAAGCACUACGACGAUAUGACCGAGGUGUGUAACUGUGGAGGGGGGCACCGCACACGGCUAAGAGAAGACUUCGUGUGUUCUAUCGGUGCCCCCCACAUAUAUAUAGGUGGGAGGGGGAGGGAGCAGCAGGAGGCACUCCCCAAGUAGGAGGAAUCCUACUUGGGGCCUAAUCCUAUUCGGCCUCCCCCCUUUCCAUGUUUUUCGGAGGGAGAAGGAAAGAGGAGGGGGGAGAGAGGGAAAGGGGAGGCUGAAUUGCCCCCCUUCCUUUCUCUACUCUCCCUUUCCUCCCCCCCUAUUCGGCCAUGUAUGGGUGUAGGAUCGAAAGUAUGUCUAGAGGGGGGUGAUUAGACUACUUGACCAACUAAAAAUCUAGCCUUUCCCCAAUUUUAAGUUUUGGCAGAUUUUAGCAACUUAGCACAAAUCGAGUAAUCGACCUACACAUGCAAUUCUAAGAGUAUAGCAGCGGAAUGUAAAACAAUUGCAUAUGAAGGUAAAGGGAGGAGUUUGGAGGGAGCAAACGCAAUGUAGACACGGAGAUUUUUUAUCCAUGGUUCUGAUAGGUGGUGCUAUCGUACAUCCACGUUGAUGGAGACUUCAACCCACGAAGGGUAAAGGUUGCGCGAGUCCACGGAGGGCUCCACCCACGAAGGGUCCACGAAGAAGCAACCUUGUCUAUCCCACCAUGGCCAUCGCCCACGAAGGACUUGCCUCACUAGGGUAGACCUUCACGAAGUAGGCGAUCUCCUUGCCCGUACAAACUCCUUGGUUCAACUCCACAAUCUUGAUGGAGGCUCCCAAGUGACACCUAACCAAUCUAGGAGACACCACUCUCCAAAAGGUAAUAGAUGGUGUGUGAUGAUGAACUCCUUGCUCUUGUACUUCAAAUGAUAGUCUUCCCAACACUCAACUCUCUCUCAUAGGAUUGGAUUUGGUAGAAAGAUGAUUUGAGUGGAAAGCAACUUGGGGAAGGCUAGAGAUCAAGAUUUAUGUGGUUGGAAUGAAAUAUCUUGACCUCAACACAAGUCUAGGUGGUUCUCUCUCAGAAAAUGUAUGUUGGAAGUGUAGGCAUGUUCUGAUGGCUCUCUCCACAAAUGAAGAGUGGGUGAAGGGGUAUAUAUAGCCGCCACACAAAAUCUAACCGUUACACACAAAUCACCAAACUCGGUGGGACCGAUUCCAUUAGGGUUAGGGCAUAACGUAAUCUCGGUGAGACCGAUUACAGAAACUCGGUGGGACCGAUUUUGGUAAUAGGCAAACAGAGAGUUGGUCAGGAAAACUCGGUGGGAUCGAUUCGCUCAUCUCGGUUAGACCAAAAUGUUACGAAGGGGAAACAGAGAGUUUGAAUUGCGAUCUCGGUGGGACCGAUCGCUCAUCUCGGUUGGACCGAAACGUUACGAAGGGAAACAGAGAGGUUGCAAUCCCAUCUCGGUGAGACCAAAGUGACUAGGGUUUGUGGCAGUGGCUAUGUCAAGUGAACUAGGUGGCGCCGGAUAGAAAAUUUCGGUGGGGCCGAGUUUGACUUUUGGUUUGGGACAUAUGUGGAUAUGAGAAAGUAGUUGAGGGUUUUUGGAGCAUAUCACUAAGCAUUUUGAGCAAGUAACUCAUUAAGCAACACCUCACCCCCUUUUAAUAGUAUUGGCUUUUCCUAUGGACUCAAUGUGAUCUUGGAUCACUAAAAGUAAAAUGUAGAGUCUUGUGCUUUGAGCUUGAGCCAAUCUUUUGUCCUUAGCAUUUUGAGGGGUCCACUUCCUAAUCCAUGCCAUGCCAAUCAUUGAGCUUUCCUGAAAUAUUUAUCUUGAAAUAGCAUUAGCUCAAUGAGCUAUAUGUUGUUAGAAAUUACCAAAACCACCCAGGGAUAGUUGCACUUCAAUCUCCCCCUUUUAGGUAAUUGAUGACAACAUAUAGAUCAAAGCUUCGAUAAAUGAUAAUAAGAUUGAAAAACAUCGUCGCUUUGAGAAGUAUGUGAUAAGCAAGAGCUCCCCCUAAAUAUGUGCAUUAUUUAUAAUUUGCUUUUGAAUGCAAAUGCACAAUCGAUUAGGAUCAUGGGUUACUCUUCCAUGUCACAUACAUCUUGGUGGAGUGCUCAAAAUGAUAGAGAUUAAAAGCACGCACUCAUCACCAAGCAAGUGAAUGAUCAUAUAUGAGAUAUAAAAGAUAGUAUCAUCCAAACAAGCAUGAAGGUAGCAAAUGAUCAACCACAUGAUCAUACAAGUAUCUCACAGGACAUAAAGUAUCUCACACAAGCACACAAUCAAAAAGUUCAACCAAAAGCAAGAGAGAUAAUAAAGCAAGACACUCUCUCUCUCGAAGCCUAUGAUCUAUACAUAUUUCUCCCCCUUUGGCAACAAGUUACCAAAAAGUUCAAAUAUGCAUAGUGAUAUGCGUCUCUCAGGCUUGGUCUUCGGGAGGUGGUGUAGAGAGAACUCCAAGGACGAAGGCAUCUGUUGAUGUAGUUGGUGCUGGUGGAGUGGCUGCUCGAGGUGGCACUGGAGCUGUAGCUGCUGGUGCUGAUCCUGUAGCUCUAGAAUCUCUCACUGGCACUGCAGCAGACCUCUGUCCUCUAGGCACUCGCUCAAAUGCAUUAGUAGUUGCCUUGCCUCUCUUCUCUUCUGCUUCCUCCUGAAGCUGCUCAACUGCUGUUUGAAUCUCAGUUACCUUCAGAUCAAGAUCAUAAAUUUUGGUUUCUAUGAUCCUCUCCAAGCUCUCCUGGUUUUGGGUCAAGGUGGCCAAGCUCUUCUCAAUCCUCAGUGUAGACUGGAUCAGAUAUCCAAGUUGAUCUUGCUUGCUCUUCAGGAAAACUUGAGAUGCCUCUUCAACACGGGGCAUCUUGGCAGCUUUCUCAGCCUUUUCUUUGGCUCUCUUCUCCUGUGCUUGAACUGAAGAUGGUUCUUCCUCAUUCAUCACAACCUUGUUAUCUUCAAAUUCAGGAUAUAAGGGUAAGUGCUCCUUGUCCAACAAAUAAGUGCAUGUGCCCAUCUUGGAGUUGAUGAGCUCCUGAAUGUGUGGAGCAUACCCAUAGCUUCUCUUCUGAUCAGUAGUUGUCCUCUUGAUUGUUUUUACAAUCAAACUCAUGACCUUGAACUUCUGAGGGACAUCAAAAAGCUGUAGCAGGUUGAUAGAAUGUCCUCUGAUCAUCUUGUGAUCUCCAGACUUGGGUAGCAAUGUGUGCCUUAGGAUCCAGUUGAUAGUUGGCAGACCAGACAAUAGAUAGUGUACAGAUCCAAGCUUAUGAGUCUCCAAAGCUUUGUCUAGGAUCUCCUUGUACAUGUUGGCCAUGGUGUUGUGGUCUUUCUUCUUGGUGGCAUACACAUCCAAGUCAUCUUCAUGUUCCUCUGGGGCAUUGAUCAGCUUGGCCCAUUCUUCAACAGUGGAUUGGUACCUAGUACCUUCAGACAUCCAAAUGAUCUUCCCAUCUGGGUAAAAGUGAGCACUGGAGUAAAACUGCAUGAUCAGCUCAUCAUUCCAUUUUGUGAGCUUCUGAGCAACAAAUUUGUCAACUCCACAUGCUUUGAAGCUGUCAUGUACUCCUGGGAAGUGAUCUUCAUUUUCCUUGAUGAAUUCCCAAUCCACCCAUUUCAUGUCACAAACAAUGGGCUUCUUAUCAAGCAAUUUUUUUCAUAGAAGUCUUGUUGUUCCUUUGUAUGAAACCUGUAGUCAACUGCAGUCCUCCUCCUCACAGCAUAAGGAUUAGACUGUCUCCACAAUCUCAGUCCAGCAUCAUUUCUGAUACGGAUGUCUUCAGCUACUGGAUGAGCAUCAUUAUGGUCAGGAAUCUUGGGCUUCAACUUUCUUAAAACAAGUGAAUCAUCUUCCUCUUCUUCAGCUUGAGGCACUGGGGCCUUUUUCUUCUCCUCAGCAGGUAUACUUCUGGUGUUCCUCUUGGGUUUUGGAGGCUUCUGAGCUUGAGCUUUGGGAGCAGACUUGGGCUUAGAUGGAGCAGCCCCUGACUUUAUAGCAUCUCCCAUAAGCUUCUGAGCUUUGGGAGCUGGAGCAGCAUCCUCUUCCUCUUCUUCUUCUUCUUCAGAAUCUCUCAUCAUGGAGGGCUUGCCAAGUACUUUUGCAGUUGUGGUUCUUGCCCUCUUUUUCUUUUUGUCAUCUCCUGCUGCUUCACCUUCAUCAGAUUCUAUAGUGAAUUUCAUAGUCUCUCCUGUUGCAACCUUCCUUGGCUUUGACAUUGGAAUCCUUCUUGCUGGUGCUUUCUUAUUCAAUCCUGGCUUACUUGCAACAGUUGUUCCAUACUCCUUUUUCAGCACCUUCUUCUUGGAGCUUACUUCCUCCUCAGUGGCUGCCUUUGGCAAGUUGCUUGGAUCAAAAGUAUGCCUAGAGGGGGGGUGAUUAGACUACUUGACCAAAUAAAAAUCUAGCAUUUUCUCAAAUUUAAGUUUUGGCAGAUUUUAGCAACUUAGCACAAAUCAAGUAAUCAACCUACACAUGCAAUUCUAAGAGUAUAGCAACGGAAUGUAAAACAAUUGCAUAUGAAGGUAAAGGUAGGAGUUUGGAGGGAGCAAACGCAAUGUAGACACGGAGAUUUUUUAUCCGUGGUUCCGAUAGGUGGUGCUAUCGUACAUCCACGUUGAUGGAGACUUCAACCCACAAAGGGUAACGGUUGCGCGAGUCCACGGAGGGCUCCACCCACGAAGGGUCCACAAAGAAGCAACCUUGUCUAUCCCACCAUGGCCAUCGCCCACGAAGGACUUGCCUCACUAGGGUAGAUCUUCACGAAGUAGGCGAUCUCCUUGCCCGUACAAACUCCUUGGUUCAACUCCACAAUCUUGACAGAGGCUCCCAAGUGACACCUAACCAAUCUAGGAGACACCACUCUCCAAAAGGUAAUAGAUGGUGUGUUGAUGAUGAACUCCUUGCUCUUGUGCUUCAAAUGAUAAUCUCCCCAACACUCAACUCUCUCUCUCAUAGGAUUGGAUUUGGUAGAAAGAUGACUUGAGUGGAAAGCAACUUGGGGAAGGCUAGAGAUCAAGAUUUAUGUGGUUGGAAUGGAAUAUCUUGACCUCAACACAAGUGUAGGUGGUUCUCUCUCAGAAAAUGUAUGUUGGAAGUGUAGGCAUGUUCUGAUGGCUCUCUCCACGAAUGAAGAGUGGGUGAAGGGGUAUAUAUAGCCUCCACACAAAAUUUAACCGUUACACACAAAUCACCAAACUCGGUGGGACCGAAUUAUAGAACUCGGUCAGACCGAUUUGGUUCAUAAUGUGACCGUUAGGCAUUUCGGUGGGACCGACAUGUCAACUUGGUGGGACCGAUUCCAUUAGGGUUAGGGCAUAACGUAAUCUCGGUGAGACCGAUUACACAAACUCGGUGGGACCAAUUUUGGUAAUAGGCAAACAGAGAGUUGGUCAGGCAAACUCGGUGGGACCAAUUCGCUCAUCUCGGUUAGACCAAAAUAUUACGAAGGGGAAACAGAGAGUUUGCAUUGCAAUCUCGGUGGGACCGGUCGCUCAUCUCAGUUGGACCGAACGUUACGAAGGGAAACAGAGAGGUUGCAAUCCCAUCUCGGUGAGACCGAGAUCCCUAUCGGUGAGACCGAAGUGACUAGGGUUUGUGGCAGUGGCUAUGUCAAGUGAACUCGGUGGCGCCGGAUAGAAAGUUUCGGUGGGGCCGAGUUUGACUUUUGGUUUGGGACAUAUGUGGAUAUGAGAAAGUAGUUGAGGGUUUUUGGAGCAUAUCACUAAGCAUUUUGAGCAAGUAACUCAUUAAGCAACACCUCACCCCCUUUUAAUAGUAUUGGCUUUUCCUAUGGACUCAAUGUGAUCUUGGAUCACUAAAAGUAAAAUGUAGAGUCUUGUGCUUUGAGCUUGAGCCAAUCUUUUGUCCUUAGCAUUUUGAGGGGUCCACUUUCUAAUCCAUGCCAUGCCAAUCAUUGAGCUUUCCUGAAAUAUUUAUCUUGAAAUAGCAUUAGCUCAAUGAGCUAUAUGUUGUUAGGAAUUACCAAAACCACCCAGGGAUAGUUGCACUUUCAAUGGGGCGCACCAGCCCACUAGGGGCUGGUCUGUCCCGCCCUAGGCCCAAUAAGGCCCAUAUCUUGGUCGGGGGUGCCCGGAACCCCUUUCCGGUGACCGGGGACUGAGGGCCCGGGCACCCGGGGUGGGCAGAGGGCCUCGCCUAGGCAGCAGCCGGGCACUCGGGGGCCAAAGAGGCCGAGCACCCGGGGCGCCCAGGGAGGCGGCCAGCCAGCGGCUGGGGAGCCGGGCACCCGGGGCUGCAGGUGGCCGGGCACCCGGAGUGGUCUGGGACCUCCAUUGCUUCGUGCUUCUCGUGUCUUCCAUUCUCUUCCUUCUCCAUCGUCGCUUGUAUCUCCGUCCUAGCUUCUUCAUGAUCAUCUCCUUGGUACCUAAGAAUGCAUAACAUUUCCGUUUGAGGUAGGACCCAACUCUCAUGUGAAUUCGAAUGGAGUUCAAAUAGGAAAGAUUUAACCUCGGUUUCCAUGGCAUGUGCGCGAGCUCUCGUCAUUGGUUCUCUUCGUGGUGCCUGAUGAGUUGUAGUGGAAUCCAUGGGGAUGAUGGAGGGAUGCUCCGCAUCACAUUGCCAUGCACUUUGAUAGCACUUCCACCCUUUUUCUGAAUACCUUUGCUCCUAUCGAGAUUAGCUAUUUGAGAAUUGUUGGGCCUCAUGAAUUUGUGCACCGUAGUGAUAGCUUAUGAAUCUUACCAUGUUCUAUAGUUACUCUGUGUAUAUGUUGUAAUAGUUGUCUUACAUAGUCGACCAAGUCACAAGGAAAGUGGUAAAAGGAAGAGAAAGUUCAAAAAAGAAGGGCGGCCAGAGAAAUAUAUAGUAGGGUUUAUAAGCAAAAUAUUUGAGCAACAAAGAUACUUGUGCCGACGGUAAGUUGGAUAGAGAACGUUACACUUGUUCUUGUAGGUUGGUGCCAAGUUCACGAAUCUAGCCCUCAAGAGCAAUCAAGUUGGCGUCCCUUUGUCCUGUUCAACGUGAGCAUUGGUCUUAGUUAGGCAUUUUUGUCUUUCUCAUUCCUUUGGUUGCACUAGCCCCACUUAUCUUUAUGUGUGUGUGUUUCCGUUGCUAUAUCUCUAUUUUGUGAUUGUUGAGUGCCACAUGUGCAUGGCCCAUGCACGUAUGAUUUUCUAGUUGUCGUAAUCUUACCAAAUGUCCCACUUGUCCUCCAAAUAUUUCCCAUAUAAUUAGGAUCAUAGGCAUGGACGUCAGGACUCAUUGUACGCGCUAUAUAUGUGCAUCAUAUGCUGUGAAUACAUGUGCGUUGCAUCAUUAUAUUCUCUACUUGUUUCUCAUUUUCAAUCAUUUAGAUCUUACCCAAUUUUACAAUAUCUUGAUCCACUUGUUGCAUGAUUUUGUGCCACUAACCCUACCAAACUUCACAUAAAGCGUUAUGUGUAGGUAUUUCUAGUUUACUAGCUGACGAUGUAAGUGUUAUUUGAAGUCAAUAAAGCUAGCUAUGAAUGCCUUCCCAUAAAACAAACUACCAAGCUCCACAUUAAGCGUUGUGUGCAGGUGUGCUAGCUUUGGGAUUAGGAUCACUACCAAGCAUUGCCCCCUUCCACAUUGACAAUCUUGAGGUCUCUUGAUUUGUCGACAUCAGAAAGAGGGACUUUGAUAUUAUUCAUUUCUUUUUCUAGUCACACCUUGCUCGAGUGUCACUAUGGAUAGAGAAGGUACAUCUCGUCCGGUCUAUGGCGGCAACGAAGAUGCACAUUACUACGUCUCCGAGGCUCACCACUUCGACCUUCAAAGAGUCAUGAACGACACCAAUACCAUAUUGCAUGAGCGCAUUCAUAAUCUCUUGCUCGACAGGCGCUACAAGAUGUGUGAAUCUAAAGCUCCCACAAAAGACUACUUACACGUGAAGAUGGAAGCGCAAACAAACAACAUCCAAGGCUUGUUCAACAAUAGUGUUGUGACGACACCGCCGAUGCCGCAUCAUGGGGUGCGGCGAGGACGUGCGAGCAGGAGGGGGGGGGGUGCAGGGUGAACAGGAGAGAGACGCGAGAGGACGUGUGGCCACACACGAUCUAUGGCUUGGGUUGGUUGACCAAUGCUUGUGUGCCAUCCCACAGCCGGAGAUUUGAUGGAAGACACCAAAUGCACCUUGCUAUGGAGGGAAACAUUGCAUCCCACUAAAAAUAAUAUUCCCUUUUACUGAAACACACAAGAUAUCGAACCUGAUACUUGACCCUACUAGUAAAUGCGUACGUGCGAUGCACGUUGAUAUUAGUGAGAAAAUUAAUUGCACAAUGAUAUUAGGUGGACAUCAGAUACAUAUUAAUUAUUUGAUUAACACAAACGUUAAUAUUUGAUAUGAUAUUAAUUGCAUGCUAAACAUGAGGAGUGCUCAUCGAUGGAGCAAUUUAGACUAUUAGAUUGACAUGAUCUAAUAUCCGAGAGUAAUUAAAUAUGUUCUUUUGGGUAUAGAUACAGAUGUACUCGAUAUAAUUAACCUUCUAACCAUUGAACUACAUAUUGGCUCUCUUAUUAUUGCAUUUUCUUCUCUACCUAUGAUUAUUGUGGCUUCCUUAUUCUAGACCCGGGACUCGUAUCAACUCAUGACACCUCGAUUGUCAUCGAUUAAUAAGAAGAAGAAAAGAAAAGAAAACCUAUCACAGUUCGUUUUCGUUACACGUAGGCACCCGACCCUGCUACCUUCCACCGACUUCAUCAUCUCAACUUCCCAAUCCCACCCGUUCCCCCUUAGCCCCACGCCACCGCCAUCUCCUCGCCGGCGAUGGACCCGCUGCCCCCUUCGCCGGUGAACUGGGACUCGCUCGACGCUCUCGUGCUCGACUUCGUCAGAUCCGAUCGCCUCAUCGCCCCUCCCGCCUCCCCAUCGCCGCCCUCAUCCCCAUCCUCCUCCACCACCACCGCCACCUCCUCAUCCCCAUCCACCUCGACCUCCUCGUCCUACUGCUCGCGCAUCCUCAUCCGCCGGGCCCGUCGCGCGCUCGAGGCCGGCGACGUCGACGCCGCCCUCGCGCUCCUCCGAGCUCACGCCCCUGCCGCGCUACUCGACCACCGCCUCCUCUUUCACCUACACAAGCAGGUACCUAAACUCUCUCUCUCUCUCUCUCUCUCUCUCUCUCUCUCUCUCUCUCUCUCUCUCUCUCGGUUUAUGUUUUCCGGCACGCAGGCAGGAUGUCAAUUGUGUGGUUGUGCAGAGAUUCGUGGAGCUGGUGAGGCGGGGUACGGAGGUAGACAGGGAGGCGGCGCUCGACUGUCUCCGCACAGCUCUCGCACCCUGUGCUCUCGACGCCUACCCUGUGAGUGCUGCAUCGACUCCCUUCCUCUCGCCUCAAGCGCCCUUGAAUGAUUGAUUAUUGCACUGCCUUGAUUUCCGGUUGGGUAUACUAGUCUGCAUGUGUCCGGUUGGAUCACAUGAAUUUUGCGCGAACCUUGUCUGGAACGUAGGACUUCGGUAGCAAGUUUGCAGCAUUUGGUAUCUUAUAGGAUUUCUUUGAGCAAAUAUAUCGGAAUAAGAUGCUGCAGCAAACUCUUUUUUUUAUUACUUUCACUAAAUUCCUCCGUAAAGCUGUACUUAUGUUUUCAUACAAGCACUGAAAAUAGAAUUGAAUUACUAGAGGCCCGUGCACUAUGCCAUGUUCCUAUUUGAGAACACAAUUUCCAGUUCUUUCCUUUUCCAGCCCGGGAGGGCAAAUGAGAGAUCUAUUAGACACUCGCAUGUUGAACACAAAUACUAAAAAAGUAGAGGGUAUCCUGGCGUCCUUCCAGUAAUGAGCUGUUGUGAAUUAGGGGUAGAAAUCCAUCAGGCAGAGGAUGUAUGCUAAUGACCUGACAUACAAUGACACUACGGGAAGCAUGUCAUUGCUUGCGUGUCUGUGCUAGGCUAAUUUAUUAACAGACUACUUCAAAUGUCUAUGAAUUGCUGUGUACCAGAUGCUACAUCUCAGCUUGCUGUUGCUCCUGUCGGCCCUAACUAUUGUUGUGUCCGGUGUCCACUGCCUGCAUUGAGGAGGCAUGUAUUGUAGCCUAACUGAUAUGUCAUAUCAUCAAUGUGAAUUAUCCUGUGAUAUGUUUUUUUUACUUUACUAUCGUCAAGUUCCUACAUAUUCGGAUAUAGUCAUCUGUAUUUUUUGUCAUUCAUAUUCAUUGUGUUCGUUUGGAUUUUGCAUAAUGAAUAUUGGUGUGUUGGUAUGUUCCAAAGGAAGCGUACGAGGAAUUCAAACAUAUACUGCUGGUUUUGAUAUAUGACCAAGAUGAUCAAUCUUCCCCAGUCGUCAAUGAGGUAUGCACAAUCCUAACCGUCCAUAUACACUUUUUUAGGAAUAAUUACAAGCUAGCUUAGAUUUUCUCAUCAUUUCUGUUUUGAGUAUAUCUAGUUCUUUAAGUAGCGAUUUAGAGGUCCUUUUUCGCUGUUACUAGACUUGAGGGGAAAGAAAGCUUUAACUGUCAAUGUAAAGUAAGGAUUCUGAAUUACUCCCUCCGUCCCAAAAUAAGUGUCUCAAUUUUAUACUAACUUUAGUACAAAGUUGUACUAAGGUUGAGACACUUAUUUUGGGACGGAGGGAGUAUUUACUUAUCCAGAUAGCUUUUGACUGCUUUUGGUUCAUGGACAGUUUUCUGUGUAUAACUAGAGUGUCUUUAAGAUUGACCUACUCAUGCUAUUAAUUGCUAUGUUUGUUACUUUGUGGAACCUCUAUUUUCUGAUGGGAGAAUGCUAUUUUACAUCUUCAGCUUUAUUGCACUAUGUGCAAGCUGUUACUUUUUGAUAUAUGACAUAUUUCUUCCUGUUGGAAUUCUUUGCUCGACAGUGGUCUAUAAAGAGGAGAUUUGAACUUGCUGGGUUGCUAUCAUCCAUAUUAAGAGCUCAUUUACAAGCUUAUGAUCCUAUUCUCUCAAUGUCCUUAAGAUACUUAAUAAGGUACAUCAUAUGUUACAUCCUCUUCUUGCCUAACAUGGGUUGCUAGGCUACUGCCUCAUCGUCUGACAAUCUUACAACAUUUUGUAAAGCAUUCACAAAGUAUUCUGCUCGCGCCAAGGAGUUUCAUCACCUAUAUCUGAUCUAACUGAGCGGCUACUCUUCGAGGACCGUGAUCCGCCUGCAGUUACCCAGGAAUGUUCAGUAGAAGCACCACCAUUUGACGAGGCAAGCUCUUCUUGGUAACUGUUAAUUAUACUGUACUAUGCUCCAUAUGCCAGCUUUUAAUAAUCAACUCUUAGGUUGAUGUUCAAGCCCUAGCACAUGCGGUUGAGUUGACAAGACAAGGCGCUAUCGACAGCUUGAAGUUUGCAAAAGGAGAUUUGUAUCAAGCAUUUCAGGUCUUAUUACCAAAUAAAUUGAGUAUAAAAUUAUUUAGCUAUGAAUAUGGAUAUCUGUGUUACCACUUCCAUUUCAAAUACCUGUCAAAGGGAUAAAAAUGUUUUGGAUUUUCUUGCAUGUGUAAAAGCUGCACCUUUAGUGAGUUUGUUACUCCUUCAANNNNNNNNNNNNNNNNNNNNNNNNNNNNNNNNNNNNNNNNNNNNNNNNNNNNNNNNNNNNNNNNNNNNNNNNNNNNNNNNNNNNNNNNNNNNNNNNNNNNNNNNNNNNNNNNNNNNNNNNNNUUCAACUAUCAAAAUGUUCACUUGUCCCAUGUUGGCAGUCACAUCACUGCUUUUGUCUACUAGCUACUCUCUUCCCAUUCUUCCUCUGGUGUUCCUCUUUUCCACUUUUGACCUCUCUUUCCUAGCAUGGGUGCUUCUGGCAACCUCUUCCAUGCAGCUUCAGCUGAGGCGAGGCCACGGGCAGAAUGGAGCAUGUGAGGACUCCAUUCUCUGUUGUCUCUCAUGAGCUCUAUUGUGUGGAACCGCCGUCAGAGGACGAGUUGCUGAGGGACCAACAACACACCAUGACGCCUUUGAUUGAGGAUUUGUGAUGCUGUGCUAAAAUCUCUCACUCGUCUACAUCCUGCCUGCCACCAAAACCGCUGCAUUCCACCCCACACCAAGACAAUGAUUUGUCUGUUUGGGCAUUUCCUUGAGCAUGGUUGCAGUUGCACGCAUGCUGCAGGCAAGGAGCCCUAGCUAGCAUGGACUAAUUUCAUAAGCAAGCAAAUUAAUUGUUUGUUGAUGGGGUCACAAGCUUCAGAAAUUAGCAUCUAAGCAAGCAAAUGGAACAGCUGAUCUUGGAAGAUAAAAUUGAGAUCCCAUAGUUAUUAGCUAAAAAAUCAGUAGCUCUAAUCCUCAUAGGCACCCAAAUUUGCCAGCAAAGAUGGCUCGAGUUGCCACAGCCAAAUAGGAGGAGGCUCUAACUAGCUGGAUGAAGUUGCAAAAGGAUAGGAAGGCAUGAGUGCACCCAUUGAAGAAGCGGCAAGCCACAGCAUGGGUUGUGCUGUGAUGUGUGGUGGGGGGUCAGAGAGAUUAGAGAUUGGGUGAAAAGUUAAAAGGUUUUUGUUGUAGGGUAAAAGGCAAAAGCUACUGAUGUGUGCUUAAUUGCUUGUUAACACGUAACAUCUGGGGCUGUAAAUAUACCCUGGCUUGACCCGGUCUUGAUUUAAGCUUUGAGCCAAAUAUCAGGCUCUAGCUCAGUCCAUUGAGCCUACAGAACAGCUCAAGCUUGACUCACUGAAAGUUCGAAACAGCUUGAGCUCGCCUCAUUGGGGCUCAGCUAAACCACCAAAAAGAAUAUUACUUAUUUUUUUCUUAGCAGUUGUGCCGGUGCGCUAGGCAUAGAUUUCCAGUUCCAGUGCCUCAGGCCUUCAUUCUCUUAUAGCCGAGUCAUCCAGCCUCACCAUUGUACAGCAGCGAAGGUCAUACUAAAAAGGUACUGACCAUCCUGUUUUUAGCAAGCAAUAAAUGAUGGAUCAUAUGAUUCUGUGCUCCUUGUUAGGCGUAGCUUCUUGUGGACUUGGGCUUUAGGAAAUCGUGGACGCCCCAGGCCAUACGUGGAUGGUAUUGCCCAUUCCAAAUCGAGUUUGAACUGUUUGACGAGAACGAGCUGAAUUGACAGCCCUAGCCACAGCAGGCUAGUUCUUUGUUUGUAUUUAUUAUUCGGCAAUAGUUCCUUAUGCCUUCCUGAAUAUAUAGUAUCUGUAAUGUAAGUUUACUCUGUAAAAUUCCAGAACGAACUGUGCCGAAUGAAGAUGGACCUGUCACUUCUGGAUAAACUUGUACAUGAGUACUGUAUAUACAGGGGAAUUGUUCAAGGCUGUUCUCAUGCCCUUCCUGGUAAAUGACUGAACCUGUAGUUGAGCCUACUUGACAAUUUUAUGGCUUCAAAUACGUACUUCCAUAUAGUGCUCUCUAUUGCUUAGUUGACUCGUAGAAUUAUUACAUUUAUUUACUCCUGUGUAGUACUAAAGAGAAUCAUCUUUUGGAUAUUUUGUAGGAACUGCUGACAUGCAGUGCAGUCAAAACAUUGAUGUUAGUUUCAUAAAUAAUCAAGGAGCCAACAAUGAAGCACAGCUUGAUUGUGAAUCGGCUGGCAAGCAGGAUGACGGUUGUUGCACCAGUGAUAUUACCCAUCAUGAUUCCUGGUCGAAGAGAUUACGCAGGGUUAGAAGCAGUACAUCAGGGCAGGGAAGGCGAAAGAGAUGGAGAGGUCGAGCAGAUGAUCUUAAUUAUGCUUUUGAGACUCCAGUUGAUGCAAAUCGUGAUACCUUGUCUCCUGCCUUUGACAUGGACGAAGAUGUUGUAAUAGGAGAACAUGUAAGCUUUGUUUCAAAUCAUUGUUUUGCGUUACACUAAAUUUUUCAAAAGUUUAUUCAUAAUAAUUUCCCUGUUUUAGGACUCUGUGUUAGAUACUGGUUUGUCUGAUACUAGGAAUAUGCAAGAUCAGAAGUAUGAGGUUAUUUUAGAGAUGAGGGACCUCACACGCAAAGGAAUGGCUUCCAAAGUUGUGGAUGAAAUAAACAGCAUAGAUCCUGAUUUCUUUUCGCAAAACCCUAUUCUUCUGUUUCAGCUAAAACAGGUGUGAGCCCAACAUUGCAAUCACGUUAUUCUGCAGGCCUUGUAGGUAGGAAGGAAGAACCUUACACAUUUUGAAUCUACCAUUUCAGGUUGAAUUUCUUAAGCUAGUAGCUGCUGGAGAUCAUGUAGCUGCUCUCAAGGUUGCAUCUGCUCACCUGGGACCUCUUGCUGCCAGUAACCAAGCUUUACUGAAGCCUUUGAAGGAAACUUUGGUAACGCUGAUUCAACUCAAUGAGGAUGUACUCACAAAAGCAGUAUCGUUGCCUGUUCUUGCAAGUUCUCUGCAGGUAUAUUUGAUGUUUAUAUGUUGCAAGUCGAUACGAAGUCUCACCUAUCAGUGUAAUUGGUCUGCAUUUUCAAUAUCUGUUGUGUACUUGUGGUAUUAGACUGCAAUUUGCCAUAUCUCCUAUGUUCAUGAUAGAAGACACCAUCACUCCUUCUGUGGUUGGUUAGUAGCAGCAGUACAAGGCAAAACUGUCCUGCAGACUGAAAUCAAAGUGAAGGAAUCGGGGCCGUGUUCCGUCGUGUUUAUUUAGUGUGAAUUUGGAUGGUAUCAUGACAUCUUCUCUUCUGUAGCUUGCGAUAAGCAGGAGGCUUGGUAUUGAAGAACCUCAACUGAUGAAGAUAGUCAGGACAACACUUCAUACACACACCGAAUGGUUUAAGCUUCAGAUGUGCAAGGACCGUUUUGAUCAUUUUUUGAAGAUUGAUUCUCUAAAAGAGAUUGAUCCACCUGUGAGUCGCACUAUGUCCAAGGUUCUUACAGAUGAAUGUGGAAAUGGAUCUUCUCAGAUCACAACAUGCUCAAGUGGCAAGGUGCUGGAUGAAGGUAGUAGCCCUCAGGAGUCAUCGGAAGUUGUCUGCGAUGAAAGCGCUAUACUCAAAGUUAUGGUAAGUGGUAUAUAUCUUAAAAGCUUUUGUUAUUUGCUGCUGAUUAACUCCUUUCAUGAUAAGCCACGGAAUUACUUGUUAUCACUCGUGUGCCAUUGAAAUUGGUGCCUUUCAUGCCAUCAGUGACCGUUAGUCAAAGAUUAUGUUGGGUGUGGAAGACCCAUUUACCCUUUGUACAUUCCAAUGUUAUCUCCACAUUUCUAACUGAUUGCACUUCUGCUAAUGGCUUCCCCAAUGGGUGGCAACAUAUACAAUUCAUAUUCUCAAUCUUACUGUUACUUCUCUUUAAAGGCAAACACCCCUAGUUUGCAUUGGACAAGUUACUUAAUGCAGUAGCAGCAGGAGACGAAGCAAUUAACAAUAGUUAAUUAUGCUUAAACUUACAGCGAAAGAGGCUGUAGGAAAGGUGACGUCAAUGAGGUUGACCUAAGUUGGAUAUUAUAAAACACUUGGCUAAAGGAGAAAUCACAUUCUGAGGGCAAAUUAAAUUGAUGGAUCUCAACGAAUUUGAGUUUUGUGGCUUGGUGUUACACAUGGACACCCUUACCAGUAAAUCCCUCAGUUCAAAUAUCUUACGUUUUUUACAGUGCACGGUUUUUAGUAUGCAGCUUUGACCAUUGACCACUACUUUUUGUAUGAAGAUGGAGGUAAAAGAUCACAAAAAAUAGUGUGUAACUAAUAACUAUUUACAAUGACAACUUUAAUGGUACCGUUUGCACCUAACUUACCCAAAGAUUUUUGUACUAGUCAGUUAAAGAUGGAGAGGUUUGAGUUUGACGCAUGCUUUUUCAAAGGUCAUAUAAUUUGGAACAGAGGUGGUAUUUGUGGUUCAUAUCCUUUAAAUAACUUAUCCAGACAAAAGAAGUUCAUUCAAAUUGUCUGUUUAACGUUGAAUAGAUUUAGAGUGGAUAAUGAUGUUGAAUUUUGUACUUUAUAUUUAUAGAAUAUAUAUGCUUAUGCAUGUACUUCUAAGACGAAAAUGAUAUGUGCACUGCGAACAAGCUCUGUCAGUACUACCAUCUUCCCACCAGUUCCAUAUAUGAUUCAUCAAUUAAUCGCUUAGCCUUAUCUCCUGUUGGCAGGAAUUCCUUGCUUUGCCAAGGGCGGACGCCAUCCAACUACUCAUUCAGUAUAGCGGAAAUGCAGAGACAGUGAUCCAACAAAUCUUUUCAUAGUGCCUUGUGUAAAAUACCACACAUUUUAUUUUAUUUUAGAAAGCAAACUGUUUCUUCAUACUUUUCCUUCUUUAGCUGUAUUUGGACUAGGCGCCCAUUUCAACCUUGUGUGAUUCUCUUGUUGCUCAUGUAACACUGAAACUUAGGGGCAAAAAAGUCAGCAAGGACCAAAGAAUAAUGGAGAAGUAACAAGUGAUUGAAACCGUGGCGGUUGUGGACUCGUGAUGCGUUCGCCAGUGGUUUAAUCUUUGUUUGGCCUUUUGGUGUAUUCUGUGAUUAUGGAAACAAUGAUCAUAAAAAAACUGACAUGGAUAUACCCUCUGUGUGGAAUCAUGUAACAAGGUGUUGUACUAGAGCAUAAGUAUCAUGUAAUUUUAUUCGUAUGUGGCUGCUUUGUGUGCCAUGUAGAACUUACAUAUGCUAAAUGGUCGUAUCCUGGUGUUCUAUUGGAAUUGAUCAUGUCGACUAUAUCUGUGAGAUAAGUCCACAUUAUGCCCUGAACUUGUUCUGGAGUUCGUAUUACAACCUCGAAACUUCAGUUUUGUUUGAAAAUGCUCCUCAAACUCAUAAAAUCAUCUAAAACACUCUGUAUCCAUGGUUCACUGGUUUUGUCCCAGUGAAUCAUGUCUACGUCGUUGAAUUCCUUGCGUUUCCACUAACGUUUUGGGACUUCCUAUUUUGAAGGAGGAUAACUGUUCUCCUAUCCGCCACCUAAGAGCAUCUACAGGUGGACUUGCCAAAUCUGCCCUCCUAUACGCCUCAAAUUCCCUUCAAAUCUGCCCUCCUAUACGCCUCAAAUUUCCUUAAAUCCAUGCACGUCGAUCAUACGAUAUAAAUUGUCCGAAUUCAACAGUUAAAAACAAAGCAAAGCAAAUCAUAGUUCAACAAACCAUACAUUGGCCGGGCGCCUGCUCCGAGCGGAAUGCGUCCUGCUCCGCCUGCAUCCGGGCUGCCUCCUCCGCCUCCAUCCGGGCCGCAGCCGCCCUCGCCGCCUCGUACUCCCUGCGGUCGUUGAUCUCCUUCUUGUCCGCAAGCUACUUCUUCGCAUGCUCAUCCAAGAGGGUUUCGUCUGCUAACAUAAUCCCUGCAUCCUCCACAUUCCGUGCGAGUUGCAACCUCUCCUUUUCAAGCUCUAUGUUGCCAAAUGUCUUGGCCUUCUUGAGUUCCCAUUUGAUCGCCGCCUCUUGCUUCUCCAACUCGAUCUUCUCCCUCUCAAUUUUGAGCUUUCUCUCCGCCCUCUUCCGGUCCCACUUCAUCCUCUCCUUUUGCGCAUCCAACAUGAGCUUGUACCUCUCCACCUUCUUGUUCUCCCUCGCCGAAAAAAUGCCCGUCCAUGUGGACGACAUUUUUGUAGCCGCGGCGCCAUCGGAGCCAUGUGCCUUCUCCCACUUGUUUCUCAUGACUUGGCGGUUAUCCUUUGGCAUAUGGUGGCUUUUCCAUUCGUGACGGCAACAAUUGAUUGGUUGGAGCUUGAGCCAUCAUUCAUCUUCUUGCUGGACUUGAGAUCGGCCACAAGUUGGUUUCACUUCGGCUUGCCAUUCAAUAUGAUCCAACAAUGGCUAAAAGCAAACGACUUCUUCUCCACCUCGUGAUACAAGUGGCCGCCGCCGCCGUCCAGUAAACAACAUAUGUAUGAGCACGAGAAUUCCAACACAAGAAGCAUAUGCAAAUGUCGACAAGAUGAAGCAAUUGAGCUUACGUGAGUUGCCACUCCCGUCCCACUUUGAGGGCGUUUGGUCACUUGAGAGUAGUAGCCGACGUGCUUGUUCACUUCCCCUUGAAUGAUCCCCCAACAAUGUUGUAGAGAUGCCACAUUGCGGGUGAUCACGAUAGGAUGCGGCUCCACAUACUCCUUCCAAAUUUCUCCCAAUACUUGUUCCCCUUUUGCUCGGUGCCGCAUAUUGGAUCCAUCGUUGUGGCCAACCAAGCUUUGACCAACAAGAUGUCCUUAAAUCUUGAGAGUCCCGGACCUCUUGCCUUCGUCGUCUUGGUCUUCUUCUUCUUGCUCGGAUUGGGAUCGGAUGUUGUCCCAACUUCAAAUGCGGUGGUGGCCUCCAAUUCAUACCCCACUUUGGUCGGAUCUUCAUUGUCAUUGAUCAUGUUUGUCGAACGCCUCCUACAUGAUUAUGGUUUGCAAGCAUUCAUCAUGUGCGAAAUGAACUAGUUGUCUAUGCAUAAAUCUGAUUGGACGGGAGCAAAGAAAGCAUGCCGACUCUUGUUUGGUCAUUCCGUCGAACAUGUCGAGGGCAGCCCGGGCGUUGCCGCUGCCCGUUCUCAUCCGCACCCGAGCGAGCUACAGUGACUCACAUACAUCGACCACCGACAUCUGCAUGGGCGAAAAGCUCUCCGGAAUGGCCCAGCCGGUCGUCGAAUCCUCCUCUGUCCCAACGGGGUCGGACGACGUAAUCCGCGUCGGCGCUCGGAUGGAAGGGGUGCGGGGUUCCGGGCGCGGCGGAGGAGACAACUGCUCCAUCAUGUCCGAACCUCCCUAUGACACCACCGCCGCCUCCCUCUCUCGCUGCCGGCGUCGCCGCAACUUUCGGGCGACGUUCUCCGCCUUGCAAGUUGGAGCUGACGAAGGGACGCCGACGGAUGAGGCGGACUGCAUCUCUGCAGCGGCGGUCUGGGACGGGUUGUACGACAUCUCCAGCGUUGGAUCAGGACUGUUGGUGAGGAUUGAGAGCAAGGGUGGAGGAUGGCGAGGGUUCGGGCGUGGGAAAGGUUGGAUGGGCGGCGGGAGGAGGAGGAAGGGUCUGGUGGAUUUGGUGCAAUUUGCGGCGGGGUCGGGCUGUCGGGUCCAACGUGGCUGGCGUGCCCGGGCGCCCCCAUAUCUGCCCCAUAUUUGUGCUGAAUAUGAGGGGUGCCGGUCAGCCCGGGCGUUUGAGGCCCAUUUAAGGAGCCCGUCUGGGUUGAAAUUUCGCAACAGGACAGUGGUCGGGCGGCCCACCCGGGCGAAUGAGGCGGGUUUGAGGCGCCUUGCUGUAGAUACUCUAAGAUCUCCACGCUACUGCCUAGGUCACCCUCCUUUCCUUGCCCGACAGCCUGGGUGGUGGGCCAGAGGAGUGGGUCACCUCACCUACCUCGACGUGUCCAACCUGAAGCCGUUGAAGGGCUAGUAUUGGUAAUUGUUUCUAGAUAAGUUUCUCCUUGUAUCUUCGUAGUUGGUGUGUCAGUUAAGGGAAGCAUUUGGUUGGCUCUUGGUGCGGUGACUUCAACUUCUUUUAAAAAAAUUGUUUUGUGGCAUGAUUCGGUUUCUCCAACCUUCUGGCCUGACGCUGAAGGAUUGUAAGCCUGCGUUGCCUGGGUGAUGCCCAAAUUGAUGUCUCUUAUGCGAUUACUAGACCUUGGUUCUAGUGACUGAGUGGCUAUUGUUGUAUUCAAAACCUAGUAUGGCGAGGGAAUUUUCACGUGUCUCUUCCCUCUGCCAUUGGUUCAAUUCAAUUUUCAAGCUCCGGUAGGCGACAUACAAUCAUAGGAAAAGACAACUAGUAUAGCUCACAGUGUAGUUCCAUUUUUUACUGGCCAUUUUGUGCCGUUUUGUCUUUUCGGUUGUAUUAGCUUCUAUUUUCUUGAAAAUUACUAGAAAUAAGAUGCCCUUUGGGUGUCUUUCUUAAAACAUGCCACCUCAUCUAUUUUUCUUCCUUUCCACCAACUCAACUUUCUUGUUUGUCUCUUGUCGAUGUGAAUAUCCCGCCCGCCACCCCAAACUGAGCUCCCUGCCUCUUCCAAGCAACCAGGUAGACAUGCGCCGACUACCAGCAUGUAGGACUCGUACGAUACCUAGGUUAACUCUUGCGGCAUUGGCCUCCACCCCUGAGCUACUCGGAUUGCACGCACAUCAGCACAACGUAAGUGGCUUCUUAUGACAUUUAGCUUAUCUAAUUCACCAAGUACUUUUAUGCGUUUGAUGAACCAUGUGCUUAGACAUUUGGUUGGUAAAUUUAUGGUUUACUAUGAUAACAUCCUUGUUUAUAGGAAAUCUCUAGGUGACCAUCUUGCACAUGUUUCUCAAAUUUUGAAACUUGUUUGAAAUGAGAUACUAUAUGAUAAUUUUGAGAAGUGCACAUUUUUGCAUCAAUAAACUUGUGUUCUUGAGUAUUUUGUUUGAUCAAAUGACAUUGAAAUUGAUAAAGUUGAUACUAUUAUAACUUUGCCCUAACCCACUAAUGUGACUCAAGGCAUAGUUUUCUUGGGUUAGUCGGUUUUUAUCGCCUUUUUGUUAAUGAUUUAUAGUACCAUUGCUUCACAUGUGCAUGUGCUUUCGAAGAAAGGUGUGGCUUUUGUUUCGGGUCAAUCACAAGAAAGUGCUUUUCUAGAUCUUAAGGGCAACUUAAUGCUCCAUUACUUGUUUUACCGGAUUUCAACGAAACCUUUGAGAUUGAAUGUGAUGCUACUUCAAACGGUAUUGGCGGUGUUCUUAUGCAAGGGCUUUGACAUAUAGCUUACUUCAGUGAGAAAAUUCUAUGGUGCUCAACUAAUUUAUCUCAUUUAUGUGAAAGAGUUAUAUGCUUUGGUUCAUGUUUGCAAGUUUGGCAUCAUCAAAUUUGACCAUAGGAAUUUGUCAUUUCUUUCCAAUCACGAGCCUUUUAAAUACCUUAAGAGCCAACCAAAACUUAUUUGUAGACAUGCCAAAUUGUGGGAUCGUUUAGUACAAUGUACGAUGGGGGGGGUGAAUAGGCUACAAGCAAUAAAGGAGAUUCUUUUCCAAAUUUUUAUCUUUAUGGGCAAUUUCAAGCUUUUCUAUGGUAGUUUGCAAAGCACCCUACACAUGUAAGUCUAAUAUAGAGUAUAGCGGUGAAAAGUAAAUACUUACAAAAGUAGAGGUCUGAGUAGAGUAAGAGAAAUACAAACAUCGGUUGGCUCGGUGGAUAUUUUUUCAUGUGAUUCAAAUAGUUGGCGCUAUUCUACUCCAUGUUGAUGGAGGUUUCGAACCACAAAGGUGUUCUAAGAUCACGAAGGUCAAGGUCACGAGUUCCACGAAUCAAAUGAAAUCGUAUCAUUCUGUGAUAAACCAAAUGGGCUAGAAAGGAACGCCAAAAUGUUCGAUGGUAUGGCUUCACCAGUGCAAAAGUUGUAUGUUUAGCGGUGGACGAGCACAAGCAAUGGGUGCUUGCUAGUCCGAAGGAGGUAGACAUUAAGAGACAACAUUGACUGUGAUGGGUGGUUGCGGUGUCGAUCCCUUGCUCAUUUCGUGCCCUACCCGUAAGUGUAGGCGUCUAUCGUCGACGGGAACGUCUCCUCCCACUGAAAAAGUAUCGUCGGAAAUCCUGAAAUAAAUUCAGAAAUAAUUGGAGCACCAGAACUUUAACCCUGAUGGGCUGGAGAUACCACUGUCCCUUUAACCAUCCAACCACAGAUUGAUUCGCGCAACAUUGAUUUUGCUUGUUCUUGAAAAGGGCAAAACAACCAAAUGAUAUCGCGUCAUUCUUUAAUAGCUAUAAACUCCAUCCGUAAGUGUGGUAUUCUUCAAAAUCAAAAGAAAAAAAAGCAUAAGUGUAGCAUUGGUCGUGGUCGACCAUCGUCCCGCUCGCAUCACGUGUUGCGCCAGCAGUUCGCUAGAUAAGAUCGCGCGUGAAGACUACCGGACAUAUAGUUUUUCCGUUGUUAAUUCCCGGAUUGCAUGCAGACAUGCAGUGCGUACUCCUCGCUCGUCUGGCGACUCUCUCUCCUUCGACUCAGUAGGUUAGUUAGACCGAGAUCGCGUUCUAGUAACAGACUAAACGGUACUCGCCAUCAUCGGGCAACAACCUUACCUGCUGUAUAUAAGGGCCGAAGGGCUCGCCACCCCAUUCGUUCAUGCGAGCGAGAUUUCCAAUCUAAUCGCUGGUUCUCCGCCCACAACGAACCUAGCCAGAGAUCGUCGGAGAUGGCGACCUUCCGCGUCGCGGACGCGUCGGAGUACCUGGCCAUCACCGGCUGGGGCAUCGACGACGUCAAGCUCGCCAAGAAGGCGUGGGUCUUCGUGGGGCAGCAGUGCAAGAAGUUCAGCAUCUCGCCGGUCAACUACGAGUUCGAGGUGCACGCCAUGAGCGCCGAGAAGCUGCCCUUCAUCCUCCCCGCCGUCUUCACCAUCGGCCCCAAGAUCACCGCCACCGGGGCAGAGGCGUCAGACAAGAGGGACCUUGAGGCGCAGCUCCUCCUCUACGCCAAGCUCAUCGCCCCGCUGCACAGGUCGAGGAGCCACGUCCACGAGCUCGUCAAGGGGAUCAUCGAGGGCGAGACCCGCGUGCUCGCCGCCGACCUCACCAUGGAGGAGAUCUUCAAGGGGACCAAGACCUUCAAAGAGAAGGUCUUCAACAGGGUGCAGCUGGAGCUUAAUCAGUUCGGACUCGUCAUCUACAACGCCAACGUGAAGCAGCUGGUGGAUGUGCCGGGGCACGAGUACUUCUCCUACCUCGGGCAGAAGACGCAGCAGGAUGCCGCGAACCAGGCCAAGGUGGACGUGGACGAGGCCCGGAUGAAGGGAGAGGUGGGCGCCAAGGAGAGGGAGGGCCUGACUCGGCAGAACGCCGCCAAAGUGGAUGCUGAGACCAAGGUGCUGUCGGUGCGGCAGCAGGGUCAGGGGCUCAAGGAGGAGGCCAAGGUGAAGGCCGAGGUGCAGGUGUUCGAGAAUGCAAGGGAGGCCGACAUCGCGGCGGCCAAGGCCGAGCUUGCCAUGAAGAAGGCCGGAUUUGACAAGCAGGCCAAGGUGGCUGAGGUUGAGGCGGCCAAGGCCGUCGCCAUCCGCGAGGCCGAGCUCCAGAUGGAGGUCGAGCGCAAGAACGCCAUGCGCCAGACCGAGAAGCUCAAGGCCGAACAGCUCAGCAAGGCCACAGUGCAGUACGAGACACAGGUAUCUACGUAUGCAUGUGCUUAAACCUUUGAUACGUUUCAUCGAUCUCAUGCAUGCAUGUGUCAAUUUCUGCGUGUAGGUUCAAGAAUCAAACGCGCUGUUCUACAGCAGGCAGAAGGCGGCGGAGGCGGCGCUGUUCGAGCAGAUGAGGACGGCGGAGGCGCGCAAGGCGCAGGCCGACGCGCAGUUCUUCGAGCAGAAGAUGGCCGAGGACGCCAAGCUGUACGCCAAACAGAAGGAGGCGGAGUCCCUGGCCCUGCUGGGCAGGGCCAAGACGGAGUACGCGGCGUCCAUGCUCCAGGCGCUGGGCGGCAACUACUACGCCCUCAGGGACUACCUCAUGAUCGACGGCGGCAUGUACACGGAGAUGGCGAGCAUCAACGCCGGCGCAGUCAACGGCAUGCAGCCCAAGAUCAGCAUCUGGAGCAACGGCGCCGGCGCGGACGGCGCCGCCGCGAAUGCCGGCAAAGAGGCCGCUGGAGGCAGCGCCCUGCAGCAGGUGGCCGGGGUGUACAAGAUGCUGCCGCCGCUUCUGUCAACGGUGCACGAGCAGACUGGGAUGCUGCCGCCGGCGUGGAUGGGCGCGCUGCCCAAGGACGGCGCCGCCAACUGACCGUCGUGGAGUGCGCGUUCCUCGUUUGAUUUGGUGCCAAGACUCUCGUCAGCUUAAGUGUUAAAUUAGGUUGCUUCAGGGCCCGCGUUUUUUCAGGUUUAAAGAACUAUGAAUAUCCCAGAUGUUUGUCUGCUAUCAGUCGUGUUAUGUCUCGAACAUUUUCGUGAAGUAUUGUUAAGAUUUAUUUUUAGCACCUUUGAUAUUACAAGAAACUUUUCAGAGCAGAACAAGUUCUCAUAUUAAAUGUAGGUUACUUGUUAUAUAUAUGUAAUUCCUCUGUUUCAAAAUAAGUGUCUCAACUUUAUCUAAUUUUAAUGUAAAUUUAUACUAAGCUUGAGACAUUUAUUUUAGGAUGGAGGGAGUAUUAAUUUUGACUUCGCAGCAAUUUUUUUUACAUGAUAAUACAUGUCUUAUUUAUAUCAUAAUUAUUAUAGUACAAGUCACCUAACCGAUCUGGCAAAAUAGGAAAGACAACAAAAAAGCUAGUAUUUGCAUAAAGGACAACAAUCAAGAAGUAAAAUUACAAUCAAGAUUGAAGAAACCUCUGAACUUGACACCAAAGCCCGUCACCUGCCUCUGAACCACCACAGCAGUCAUCAAAGGAAAAAAUGACGGAUCACCUUCACACCCGAGCUCGUAACGGCUCCAUCGCUGAUAUGCAGUUUUGCGGACCUCCAAGGUGGCUCACCAAAGGCAAAACCAUUACCGUUAAACGAAUCAGACCGGGGCAACACCCCGGGCACGCCAUCGAACUCCAGAUCUGGCACCCCCACACGACUAGAACGCCGGAGGAGAAAACCACAUCUGCCAUCCACGAACCGCGAACACAGCACACGAUCUACCAUCUUCCAGAUGUCGCCGAUGCAGACCACAAUCUGCAUCCGCUCCUGGACUACCUCCCAAGCUCCGCGCCGGCGCUGGAGCAAACGUUGUCGUAACGGCAGAGCCCGAGGAUACAGGUCCGCCACAAGGAUGUCGCCGCCGCCACGCCAUUUUUACUUGAACAGACUGAUUUCCAAAUCCAUCCCCAACCAUAGGACCGAUCGCCUCGUUGGAGUAGGACCCGAAGAAACUUUAUUCAACGCCGCCAUCGCCGUCGCCGAAACCAAGACAAUGAACGGCCUAAAAAUCCUAAUCUACGAGAGAAAAAACGAUCCACACGCGUGGAUCCGGCGACCCCCUCACCACCGACGACCGAGGCCGCCGGCGGAGGGGAGCCGCUGGACGGCGGCGGCGGGAAAGACUCCUGGGGCGACUUCGCAGCAAUCUUCGGAUUUAUUUUUAGCACACCGUCUAUAUGAAUACACAUGCACCCGUAUUCCCCACUUCACAGAAAAUAGAAUCCCUGGACCUAGCCUGGCCUCAAAUGUUUUCCGUGCGGGCUCAUAAUAGAACUACUCCGUUAAUGAUCCUCUCCCCAAAAUCAACUAGGAAUUAACAAACUGUCAAUAUUACUUGCUUUUGUCCUUGCUUGAAAGUCGGCGCAGAAGAAACAAAACGGGCUACAUGGAGCCCUUUUUUCGAAACAUUCAAAAUCGCUUUUCAAAGUUUCAAAAAAUUCUAAAAGAAAUUCCACAUUGAAAUAUGAAUGUGUACUACAUAUGUAUAAACUUUCACCUAAAAAUACAUUGAUUCGUGAGCUACACAAAAAAAGAGAAAUGCUUCCAAUGUCAGCGAGUUGUCUUUUUUAUGUAGCCCGCCAUGUCAAUGUAUUUCGUCAUUAAUUUUCGCAAGCAUGCAAUAUAUAUCCGUAUGAUACUGUGGAUUAUUUUUCAGAAUUUUGGAAGCACUGAAACACUUUGAAUAUUCCAAAAGAACAAGCUCCAUGUAGCUCAAGCACCAAAGCUAACUUUUGAAAUAUGUUGUCAUACAGCAUGGCAUAGAUAUAUAUUGGCAACUCCAUGUCCAUUUGAAAUACUCACUCCGUCCGGAAAUACUUGUCGGAGAAAUGGAUAAAAAUGGAUGUAUCUAUGAUUAAAAUAUGUCUAGAUACAUCCAUUUCUUCAACAAGUAUUUUCAGACGAAGGGAGUAACAAAUAAGAUGUACUCCCUCCAUUUCAAAUUACUCGUCGCAGAAAUAGAUGUAUCUAGAACUAAAAUACGUCUAGAUACAUCCAUACCUGCGACAAAUAAUUCGGAACGGAGGGAGUAGAAGUCAAGAUGAAUGCUAGCUAGGAUAGCCAAAGGAUCCCAUUUUCCCCUUCCCUGCGCCGCUCGUUCGAGCGGUGGCCCCCGCGCCCAGUCAGGCUAGCACUCCCCUCCCACCCUCGUCCUCAUCGUCGUCGAAGGAAAUUGCCUGGCAAAGCCCCGCGCGGCGGACGACGACGAUGGGACUCUCUCCCUUGCGGUUGGCGAUGCAUAGGUAGGGUUCUGGGCGGGCGCCCGAUCGCGACAGUCACGCAGGUUGGCGGUGACGCGGGCGGCUCUUCUGCUGCAGUGGUCAAAUCCGGGGUGGCGGUGGUGCAAGCCGAUGUGGAGACGACCAUGGAUGUGUUCGCAAGAUCUGGCCUCCUCGGCGAUGAUGGCGCACAGCUCUUCUUCCAUGGGGGGUCUAUCAAGCUAGCAGUUUGUUCUCCCCUCAUCUACAGGCCCGAUCUCGGUUGUUUUGACAGCCAUGGCCGGGAAACGAACAGAGGCAACGCCUGCAGAAACCAUCUCCUCCUUGGAGGCAUCGUCUUGUCCUUGGUUGUACUCCGAUCUGGGAAACCAUAGAUCUGGUCCGCUUGCCAGCGGCGGCGCUGCGGUGUCGUCCCCACCUUGGAGGCGUCGCUUGGGUGCCUAUGGUGUCUGCCAGAGCGGGAGCUGGUGUAGGUUGCUUCGCCUGUCUCAGCUAUGGUGCUUGGGGCCACAUGUUGCUAUGAUAUGGUUGAUGUUGUGGACAUGAGGAUUUGGGCCGUGUUGCUAUGAUAUGGUUGAUGUUGUGGACAUGAGGAUUUGGGCCUCUAUGGGUGGAGGGUGCGUUGAUAGCCUGGUCCAAUUUGGCCGUGCUUCCAAGAUGUCUGGCUAUGGUUUGUGACGCGGUCAUCGUGCUAUGUGUUUUACCUCGUCGCCAUUCAUGGCUUGGGUUUGAACAAGACGAGUGGUGUGUUGUUUGUUGUUGUGGUGGUGUGGUUGAUAACCUCUCGGUUUAGCGUUGUAUGCGGAAAGACUUUGUUCCAGUCAUCUUGGAUCUUAUUCUAUGUUACUGAUGCACCUCUCUAGGGUAUCCUUGAAAAAAUAAGGUAUGCUAGCAAGAAUUUAAGCUUCCCAAAUCGAUGCUUGCUUAAGCUCUAGUUGCAGUGAUACGCAAGCUUUUGCGUAUUCAUGGAAGAAAGAAAAUUAAGCUCCAGUUGCCAAUAGUCCGCAAGCAAAAGAAAAGGAAAUAAGCAUUAGCACGGGAAAAUUCAAAGUUGCUUUAACAUUGCUCCUUGAUUACCUCAAAUUGCCUUGCAUUCUGUCCACUAGGCUAGGCUGACUGGCUGAAGAAGUCAAAACGAUUCAACAGUAGGCAUUGGGGCACUUCGCACAACAAUUAGGCAACUUAACGACAAUAAUCAGUUUGAUAGGCAUUAGUAAUAACACAUUUCAAUCCUGCAAAAAAAAGCAACUUAACCGUCCUUCCAGAAAUUGGGUGCACCAAUGUGACAAUUGAGUGGGAUUGUCUUAGAACUUAUUGAAGCAUGCACUCCUAAUGAGAGUUGGAAGAAAUACUCUUAUUUUCUUUAUUGUUUUGAAUCUAGAUGCAUCUUUUAUGUUGGCUUGUGAUUUGAGGGAUGCUUGGUGUGAAUCUUGUUCAAUUAGUGCGUUUCGUGUGAUUUGCUCCGUGUUGUUUGUGGAAUCCGCCUCCAAUCAUUAGAUCAGAGCUGAUAGUCGAUUUAAUCUCAGAAAGAGUGCCGAUCUGAAGACGACCCACGUGCACUAUCACUACGUGUGGCCGGUGAUACAUUUUGUCAUAUCAAAAUUGGAUUAAAACGGUGUUAUGUAUUUGAUCAUAGGAGAAUCAGGGAAGAUCGCAAGGCCUAGAAACACCCAUAACAGUGUAGUACAAACAUACCUACUCAAUGCAGAGCAGAAAUUGGUCUCAACGACAGAAACAAACAAGAGCGCAACAUAACCAAGCAAACUGGAGCUAAUUCAAUCCUGUGACACCUACCUAAAUUGUAUCGAAUUUCAGAGCAAAGACAAUACAAACAAAAACCCAAUGGUACUAACAAGAAAUAAGAAAAAUUGUACAAGCAACAUACAUACCAACAGUGCAUAAACAGGCGGGCGGGAGUGCGGCCCGGCAGAAGGAGCAGGCAAACCGUGCAGACAACCAACAAAGUGUAUCAUACCGUAACUAUUCAGAUAUUCAACUAUCUUUUUGCAUCCCCUUGAAUCAGGGAGGAGAAACACCACAAAAGUUCAGUACCAACAUCACCGGUUUCUACUCAAUGCACUGCAGAUAUUUCAGGGAUGGGAAACAAGCAAGAGUGCAAUGUAACAAAGCAAACCCACUGUCAUUAAUGCGGAUUUUGCUAAGGAGUUGAACAAGAAAACAAGAUUUUCACAUGAACACAACCAAAUAAACAGCAGAAGACCUACGAACGCCCAGCCUGGCCUACGAGCUACACUCUAAUUGACUGCAGGGCGGAACUAUACUCACAGUGCAGGACUGGUUCCAAUUUCCAAAAGCCAGUUCAAAGAAACUCAUAUCUAGUUCAAUCCUGUAAACCUACCUAAAUUGAAAGACACUAUCAUAGCAUAAUUGCUUUAAACACCAAAAUAUGUGUUUAUCAGAAAAGCAAUAAUCAACGGUUUUAUAUAGCAGCACUAAACAGCAAUAGGAACAAUUGUACAACGCACUAAACCUAUCACAAACCUAGAAGACAUGUACCACUACUGAACGUUAUUGCUAUGUUAUGACAGCAUCAUCGGCCUGCAUAGACCAAUUCGUUGGAAAGUGUUGGACGAACAUGACAGUGAUUACAUAUAUAUAAUUAACAAUAGGUAGAUAGCUCAUAAAUCAAUCGAUCAUCGAGCAACGAGCAUAAACUUCAAAGAUCAACAGUAAUAUAUCGAAUCACUUCAGAUAAACGGUGAGAUAAACAGAUCAUGUCCACCAUACGCAGAUCAAAACACCUCGAACUUAAGCCUUGAGUUCAAAACAUUACUUGCCACAAGUAACAGAUCUAAAAGACAUAAAGCAUAAUAUAGGGGUACGAUGACGAUGCGGAGGAACCUAGGCGCGGUUGCCACCGCGGGGUCCGUUGAAGGGCUGGCGGUAGGGGGCGGCGGCAGAGGUGGUUUCGGGGGCGCGCUCGACGCCGGGGAGGUCAGCCAUGCCGAGGAACGCCAGCAUGUCCAUGGUCUCCUUGUCGACGCGGAUCUCGUCGACCUCGAGCGCCGACUUCUCCGGCACGAAGUCCAUGCGGCGCUCACGCUCCUCCUCCUGCAGCUUGAGGGAGAUGCCGCGCACGGGGCCGCGCUGGAUGCGGCGCAUCAGAUGGGUGGUGAAGCCGGCCACCUUGUUGCGGAGGCGCUUCGACUGGAGGAUGGAGACCUCCUCUAGCACCUUCUUGUUGGUGUGGAAGUCGAGGGUCAUCCGAGAGUAGUACUUCUCGAUGACCUGGCGGGAGGUCUUCUUCACGGUCUUGGUGCGGACGCGACCCAU